AAGAUUCGAACCUCUCAAAAAGAUUUUGUUUUUUUACAACUGCAAAAUCCCAAGUUGCAGAAGAGUAGAAAAAGAAGAAGAAGCCAUGGCCAACAUGAUGAUGAGCUCCUCCAAAGUCUUAAUCACUUCUUCAUCUUCCACCAUCCCUCCAUCUCCAAGAUUCAAACUUUCCCUCACCCAAAUCCCUUUUCCAAAACUACCCCUCCCCAAAUCACCCAAAUCCCUUGAAACCCUCUCAAUCCCAUCAACUCUCAAGUCCAUUUCAGUCAUUCUUGCAAGCUCAUUGGCCAUGGCACCACCUUCACUAGCAGAAGAAAUUGAAAAAGCUUCCCUUUUUGAUUUCAACUUGACACUCCCAAUCAUGAUGGCUGAAUUCCUGUUUCUCAUGUUUGCUUUAGACAAGAUUUACUUCAGCCCAUUAGGGAAAUUCAUGGAUGAAAGAGAUUCUGCCAUUAAGGAGAAAUUGAGCAGUGUGAAGGACACCUCUGCUGAAGUGAAGCAACUGGAAGACCAGGCUGCUGCAAUUAUGAAGGCUGCAAGGGCUGAGAUAUCAGCAGCAUUGAACAAGAUGAAGAAAGAGACUCAGCAAGAAGUAGAACAGAAGAUUGCAGAAGGAAGGAAGAAAGUUGAGGCUGAAUUGCAAGAAGCUUUGGCUAGCUUAGAGAGUCAAAAGGAGGAGACAAUCAAGAGUCUUGAUUCUCAGAUUGCUGCUCUUAGUGAUGAGAUUGUCAAGAAAGUCCUUCCUGUCAGUAACUAAUUCUGAAAAGUUGUAAUGUUUUUUUUUCUUGGGAUUGGUAAGAGUUAACAGCUUGUUUGGAUGGAUGGUUGUUACAUGUAAUAUUGUACUGUGUUGUUAGUUUAAAUACAAUGUUUAUUUUGAUUGUUACUUAAUUUUAUUAUAUCAUAUCAUUAAAACCAUUGUUAUGUAACCACAAAAAGUCUCAUUUUAUAUAAUGAGAUUUGGUGUGAUCACGUUGUUAUGUUGGUUUUUUUUUUUUGUUGUUGUUGUGAUGCUCUUCCCCCUCUCUCUCUCUCUCUCUCUCCUUCUCUGGUAUUCUCUCAUAUUUUUCAGCCUUCUAGCUGCUGCAUUUUUUAGUAAACUGUAAACCCAACAUUUACAUCCAUAUAUGCAUUAUGCAAACAUAUUUAUAAUUUUACCAUUUUUUGUUCUUUGCACUGAAAAGAACUGAUUGUCAAAUAGUCUUUGUCUGCAGAUAUGGACUCCCAGCUGAUAGAUUAUGGAUUAGUGUUUACGAAGAUGAUGAUGAAACUUUUGCACUAUGGCAUGAUGAGGUACAACACUGAAAGAUAUGUCUGAUGCAUUAUAUCUUUAGUGAAGUAAUAAGGUCAAUCCUUCUACAAUUAACUAGUUAUGCACUUAUGCAUGGUAGGGAUCUGGUAAAUAAAUGCUGGAGCGCAACCUUCCAUUUAGACUGAACAGAGGUGUAUUAUGGUCAUUCAAAGAUACCUAGAGAACUUCAUUGCUUUCCAAGUGAAGUGAAGUGAAGUGUAUCAAACAGCCAAAUACUGUAUUUUAAGAUCCUGAAAUAUGUAUACUGUACAGUUUCAAGAAAUAUGUAUACUGUGUUCAAACUUAGAUGAGUUUCAAGGCUAAAACAAUGUCUCUCCAUUAUGGCUUAGUCAGUGGGGAUAACUCAAAUAAUGACUUAGAAGAACACAUUUAUUUUGAUAAGUGAGAAGAGCACAUUUUAUUAUUAAGCUACCUCAGUUUAAGUCAAAGGAACCUCAUUUACGUUGGAGUGUGCUCUGUCAAAUAUGAGAAGUCUAUUGCAACCAAGUUUUAAGAAUGACUGUAUUUAGUUCACAUUUUGAUCUUGAAUGGAAUAUCUUUUGACGUUCUCGGUCUGUGUGCUUAUGCUCCCCAAGUGGGCUUGGACGAGGAGGCCAAAAAGCGCUUUUAUGAGGAUUUGGAUGAGGUAGUUAGAGGUAUACCGAAUACCGAGAAGAUUGUCAUUGGUGGAGAUUUUAAUGGCCACAUCGGGGCAACUGCUAGUGGAUUUGAUGAUGUUCAUGGAGGCUUUGGUUUUGGGGAGAGAAAUGGAGGUGGAACUUCGCUUCUAGACUUUGCUAAGGCUUUUGAGUUGGUGAUUGCUAACUCAUGCUUUCCGAAGAAGGAGAACCACUUGGUUACCUUUCGUAGCCCGGUAGCUAAGACCCAGAUAGAUUACUUUCUCCUUAGGAGGGGUGAUAGAGGUCUAUUUAAGGACUGCAAGGUUAUCCCAAGUGAAAACCUCACUAUCCAACACAAGCUUUUGGUGUUGGACUUGAAGAUUAAGAGGGAUAGGAGGAAGAAGAUGUUAUCUGACCGACCGAGGAUUAAAUGGGGUGGGUUGACCCCUGCCCUUUCUCGGGAGAUGGGUGAGGAGCUGAUGGGGAUGGGGGCAUGGAGUGGUAGCGGGGAUGCGGACAACAUGUGGAAUAAAGCAGCUAGUUGCAUUAGGGAAGUUGCUUCUAAGAUGCUAGGGGUGUCUAGGGGUAAAUUCGGAGGACAUAAAGGAGAUUGGUGGUGGAAUGGGGAAGUCCAAGGUAAAGUGGAAGCGAAGAAGGCUGCAUACACAAAAUUGGCGGAGUGCGUAGACGAGGAAGAGAAGCGGACGCUUAAGAAAGCCUAUAAGACGACAAAGACAGAAGCUAAGUUAGCUGUUUCGAAGGCGAAGACGGCAGCUUUCGAACGCUUGUAUGUCGAGUUGGGGGACAAAGGUGGGGAUAAGAAGUUGUAUAGGCUCGCAAAAGCAAGAGAGAGGAAGGCGCGCGACUUGGACCAAGUGAAGUGUAUCAAAGAUGAGGAAGGCAAAAUACUGGUGGAAGAGACCUCUAUCAAGCAAAGAUGGCGAAGCUACUUUCACAAACUUUUAAAUGAAAAAGGGGAAGCGGACAUUGUGUUGGGUGAUUUGGCACACUCUGAAAGACUUCGGGAUUUUGGAUACUGUAGGUGCGUUACGCCCGAGGAGGUUAUACGGGCUAUUAGUAGGAUGAGUAGGGGAAGAGCGACCGGACCCGAUGAGAUUCCGGUAGAAUUUUGGAAGAACAUGGACAAGGCAGGCAUAGAGUGGUUAACUGGGCUGUUUAAUGUUAUUUUUAAGACAGCGAAAAUGCCUGAUGAAUGGAGGUGGAGUACAAUGGUUCCGUUGUAUAAAAACAAGGGUGAUAUCCAAAACUGUAACAACUACAGGGGUAUUAAAUUGUUGAGUCAUACUAUGAAGAUUUGGGAGAGAGUGGUGGAGAUGAGAGUGAGAAAAGGGGUGUCCAUCUCCGAGAACCAGUUUGGAUUCAUGCCGGGACGUUCGACUACCGAAGCCAUUCAUCUUAUGCGUAGACUGGUAGAAAAGUAUAGAGAAAGGAAGAGAGACCUUCACAUGGUGUUCAUUGACCUUGAAAAGGCCUAUGACAAAGUACCGAGGAAUGUCCUCUGGAGGUGCUUGGAGUCUAAAGGAGUCCCGAUGAUUUAUAUUAGGGCGAUAAAGGACAUGUACGGUGGAGCCAAGACUCGGGUUAGAACAGUUGGAGGAGACUCAGAACAUUUCCCAGUUGAGAUGGGGCUGCACCAGGGAUCAGUCCUAAGCCCUUUCCUAUUUGCUUUGGUGAUGGACGAGUUAACGCGGUCUAUUCAGGAGGAGGUCCCAUGGUGUAUGUUAUUUGCGGAUGACAUAGUACUGAUUGAUGAGACGCGGGACAGAGUUAAUGCGCGGUUGGAGGUGUGGAGACAAACGCUGGAGUCCAAAGGGUUCAGGUUGAGUAGGACCAAAACAGAAUAUUUGGGGUGCAAAUUCAGUGAUGUGGUAGAUGAGACAGAUGUGGAAGUGAGACUUGCCGCACAAGUCAUUCCUAAGAAGGAAAGUUUUAAGUAUCUUGGGGCUGUAAUCCAAGGGAGUGGNNNNNNNNNNNNNNNNNNNNNNNNNNNNNNNNNNNNNNNNNNNNNNNNNNNNNNNNNNNNNNNNNNNNNNNNNNNNNNNNNNNNNNNNNNNNNNNNNNNNNNNNNNNNNNNNNNNNNNNNNNNNNNNNNNNNNNNNNNNNNNNNNNNNNNNNNNNNNNNNNNNNNNNNNNNNNNNNNNNNNNNNNNNNNNNNNNNNNNNNNNNNNNNNNNNNNNNNNNNNNNNNNNNNNNNNNNNNNNNNNNNNNNNNNNNNNNNNNNNNNNNNNNNNNNNNNNNNNNNNNNNNNNNNNNNNNNNNNNNNNNNNNNNNNNNNNNNNNNNNNNNNNNNNNNNNNNNNNNNNNNNNNNNNNNNNNNNNNNNNNNNNNNNNNNNNNNNNNNNNNNNNNNNNNNNNNNNNNNNNNNNNNNNNNNNNNNNNNNNNNNNNNNNNNNNNNNNNNNNNNNNNNNNNNNNNNNNNNNNNNNNNNNNNNNNNNNNNNNNNNNNNNNNNNNNNNNNNNNNNNNNNNNNNNNNNNNNNNNNNNNNNNNNNNNNNNNNNNNNNNNNNNNNNNNNNNNNNNNNNNNNNNNNNNNNNNNNNNNNGUUGUUGUUGUUGUUGUUGUUGUUGUGAUGCUCUUGCAGACAUAUAUGGGGACAUUGUUGCUUGGGCUAUGAUGGGCAGAAGCUACUUACUGCUAUUAAUUUGUUAGGAACCUAUUGGAUCAAGGAUGGUGAUAAGGUUUCUUCUCAUUUCAUCGUAUUUUCUCGGAAAGUUUUCUUUUAUCUAAUCUUUAUAUGGUUUGCUUAUGUUGCUUGUUGCUAAUGCACUGAAAUAUGCAAUCUGUAAAAGGAGAUUAUUAGAUUAGGAACCACAUUCCAAUAAUUUCCAGUCCAUCUUAUGUCCAGGCUUUGAAGAAACUUGAUUUUUUGUUGAGAUGAAUCAGGAUAUGUCAUUUUGCAGUUGAAUGUGUGUGGACUUGCACGGAUGGAGCUUAUAAGUCAGAAGUUUGGCUGUAAUUGUUCUGAUUUGCAUUUUUAUUGUUUCGAUGUAGGAGUCUUUGAUUGGAAACUAAAAAGCGGUGCAUAUGGUCUGAAGAGAGACAUGUAAAAGCAGGUUCAAUUACUAAGGCUCCAGAGAAUUCUGGUUCAUAUGAUUCUCCCAAACCAAAAGGCAACAGAUUAUCACUUACAAGUAAAGAGCUGAAUAUGGGCCAAAGCAGAGAACUCUGUUUAUUAUAAGUUAGAACUUUCUUUUGGAGAUUUUAGAUGGAUUAUCUUCCCACCUAAUGAGAUAUGUACAUUUUCCUCUAUGAAGCACAAGUGAAACUGUUUGAACAUUUCCUUGGCUCGCUAAUUCUUGAUGUUUUUGCAUGUGCAGCUCACUUUUAUGAUGCAUGUCUCCAUUAGUUACAAUCUGGUCAAAACGUGAUCAGAGAGAGGACCCUCAUGAAAAUGAAGCCAAGCAUGUAAGUUCUGUAUACUGGCUUUGUCAUUAUUGUUGGUUCAUCUGUUCUAAUAUUGCCCUUCACCCUAUUGCUUUGCUAUCAAUGCUUGAUUCUUCCAUAGAAUGCAAACACUCGGCCUUAGUUGUUGGACUUUUGGUUAUAAAAGUAGGAUCUUGUUCAUCUAGGUGUUCCCAUUUAUAGUUUCUAUACUGGAACAUUGACAUAUAUAUGUUCCAUUUAUAGUUUCUAUGCCGAUAUUUUCCCAAUACUGCUCAUCAUCAUACCGAUAUAAACCUGGCUAUGUUACUUUGUAUGAUCAUGCAGAAGAAUUGGAAGAAUGGACGUAGUGUUGCAGAGUUUAAUGCAUAUAUUUAUGAAAUGUUUAACUAUAUGUAUGGAUUUGUCUUGCAUAGAGGCACUGUAACUUGUAAGAGCAGUUUAGGUAAUAUCCUCUUUGUAAAUGCAUUUUUGCAGACCCAAAAGCUGUGGAAGCAGACAUCAGAGAGGUGAACGGGAGGGUAAUCACCAUCAAGAUGAUUUAUUAAAGAACCAUCAAACUAGUUUUAAUGACAACAGGUGUGUUGUAGCUAAUUGUGAAUCCAGGUUGGUUCCUUUGCUUAGAGGGUGGUUCCCAUACAAGUUAGCAAACCCAGAGAGCAGAAUAAAACAGAAGAGCAGUGCAUCGCGAUCACACGAAUGGAAAGCAUUCACCUCUAGUUGAUAGAAAAUUAGUAAUUUGUAUCAUCUGUUCCAUUUCCUCAUUUGCAGAUGACAGUCAAUUAGUUGUGCAACAUGAUUUUACUUGGGGUUUGGCAUAAAAAAAAAGUCUUGGGAUUGUGUAAAAGAGCACCCCCACUCCCCAAUUUCCUCUCCAUGUACACUAGUUUCUAGGUUCUGUGUAAUCAAAUCUUGAUUUUCAUCAUUUUGCCUAAGAACACAAAUGCACUAAUAUCUCUUGGUCAUUACCUCAUUGGUUAGGGCAAAUCCAUCUAUCAUCACACUUAACUUCUGCAAUCUGGUUUGGGAUCUCCAUGGUUAUUAAGAAAAAGUUUAACUUCUUAUGCAUUGACGGUGUAAAAAAAUUACUCAUACCAUCAGGUUAAUCAGGAGGUAAGGUAACUACAUGUAAAUCAUACGAUAAGCAUUAGUUGAUAAUCAAAUAAAAACAUUAACUAACCUAUCAUCAAAGGUUAAACUACACUGAUAGCAUAAAAAAUCUUUACUCUAUUUGGUGUAAUAACUUAAAUCCAAGUUACAAAAUUGGUAUAUGAAUUAACUUGUGCAUCACAAUUCACAAACUUUCAGUCACUCCUUAGUGAAUAAAACCAAAAGGCUACUUACAACUAAUUACAAUUUUGUGCAUAUCAAAUGCCAAUGCCUUUGGUUUAUUAGAAUUACUUAAAUAAAUACUCACAGAAAAAGAAAAAAAAAGACCAGUUGCACACCCAUCUCAGCCUCAUAAUAUUGUGUGGGCAUAGAUUGAGAUAGCCUUUCUAAGACUUUCCUUCUUCCCUUCUAAAACCACCAAAUAAAAAAUCUAGAAUCAAACCCUCUAAAAAAUCCCAAGUUCUAAGAAGCCAUGGCCAACAUGAUGAUGAGCUCCUCCAAAGCCUUAAUCACUUCUUCAUCCUCCACCAUUCCUCCAUCUCCAAGAUUCAAACUUUCCCUCACCCAAAUCCCUUUUCCAAAACUACCCCUCCCAAAAUCACCCAAAACCCUUGAAACCCUCUCAAUCCCAUCAACUCUCAAGUCCAUUUCAGUCAUUCUUGCAAGCUCAUUGGCCAUGGCACCACCUUCACUAGCAGAAGAAAUUGAAAAAGCUUCCCUUUUUGACUUCAACCUGACACUCCCCAUCAUGAUGGCUGAAUUCCUCUUUCUCAUGUUUGCUUUAGACAAGAUUUACUUCAGCCCAUUAGGGAAAUUCAUGGAUGAAAGAGAUUCUUCCAUUAAGGAGAAACUUAGCAGUGUAAAGGACACAUCUGCUGAAGUGAAGCAACUGGAAGACCAAGCUGCUGCAAUUAUGAAGGCUGCAAGGGCUGAGAUAUCAGCAGCAUUGAACAAGAUGAAGAAAGAGACUCAGCAAGAAGUAGAACAGAAGAUUGCAGAAGGAAGGAAGAAAGUUGAGGCUGAAUUGCAAGAAGCUUUGGCUAGCUUAGAGAGUCAAAAGGAGGAGACAAUCAAGAGUCUUGAUUCUCAGAUUGCUGCUCUUAGUGAUGAGAUUGUCAAGAAAGUUCUUCCUGCCACUAACUAAUUCUGAAAAUUUGUGUAGUAAAUAAGAUUACUGUUUGAUCAAAGAUAUAUAAAUGUGAAAAUAUUUGGUUAUUUUAUAUGAUGAAUCUCAUGUGUACAUCUUGGUUUUUGGUAAUAUGAGGAUUCUAAGUGAUUUUUCAGGAUUUUGAUUAUGAAGUUAAAAGAAAAAUUGAAACUUGAAAGCCAGAGAUCAACUUCUCUCUCUAUACUGAUUUGGUCCUAGAGCUGAGGUCUAUCGGAAACAGUGUCUCUACCAUUGUCCAAAGAAUAUUGAGACAAACACAAAUCAACUUGUUUGGGAGGAGUGAUAGUAGUUGUAAUUCAUCAAGGUAAUUGUAAGUCGUCAGUUAUGAUUUGAGAUUGCCCUUUAUUUUUUUUACGACAAGUUUUGGUUAACAGCAAGAACAUAUCCACGAAUGGAGUCUAGAGAGGGUAGGAUAUAAUUGCACGGGCAAUUGUGAGACAGUACUAAUUGGUCAAUGGCGCUUAAUUAGGUAACGGCAGAAUUGUCAACCCACAUAUCCAAUUGUUCAAUUUUUUAACUACCAGGCGUAAACUAUUACCACAUCACUUACAGAUACAGUGAAGAUAGCAGCAAGAUGUUUACAUUCAACACCACCUUAGAUAAGCAAGGUUAAAAAAAAAAUAAAAAAAAAUUUAAAGUUAACCAUGCUUUUUUUUUUUUUUUGCUUUUCCAACAGAUGUAAUUCAAGACCAUAGAGAACCCAACAGCUGAAUGCAGUAUAAGGUUGGGAAACUUCAAUCAUCAGGAAAAGAGAAGACAUAGAAAUAAUCAGUUCUGCUGCUCCUCGUUAUCCCCGUUUUGCUCUGCUUCUGCAGCCAUUAACUCAUCAAACUUCUCAGUCUUGCCCAGCACUAUUUCAAUCUGCACCAAGCGAAGAUGAUAAAUAAAACAAAAAACCUUAAUUUGAUAAAAAAGACGACACCACAGAUUAGACAAGGAUGACUGUUCGGAGAAGGAAUUUUUUAAAAAGAUGGAUUGUGAACCACAUUUAACACCCACUAGCUCACAUGAAUUCAACAAUGUUUUAAAGAGUAUAUGGGGGAAGAAGAACAUGAAUGCUGUAAAAGCAGCAUCUAUAUGGCAUAACAUAAUACUGGCUAGAUUCAUUUUUCCAUCUCUGCUGUUGCCAAAAGAAAAUGAUUUUAUUCUGUUCAACGGCUUUUGAAAACAGGAACAACAACAAUGGGAAAAACCACAAGAUAAUGCACUAAAAGGGAAUGUACCUUCAACAGGCAUGGGGGUGUAAAACUAACUUCUAAUCAAGUCUAAGAUAACCAAAUGGGACUAGACAAUUUUGGUGAAUAAGGAUGUAAACCAUCACUGACCCUACCAUCUACUCUACAGCUUUUCUAAAAUUCUGCACACAUCCGAACUCAAACAGAGAAAAAUAAGCACACACACACAUCAACUACCUCUUGAACACUUAACUUAAUCUACUGUUCUUCAGAAAGAAUCUUGAGUCCCAAGCUAACAUUUACCAUAGAACCUCUACAGAAUGAGUUCCAUUACUAUCAAACCACCAAAACUGAAGCAGACUAAUGCAUCAAUUGACCGACUCAUAAUGCUUUUGGAAUUUACCUUUGCUUUUGGUAUCGGUCGGGCUCCUGGGUCAUCCCUCAUGUCCACAGUGAGUGUCCUGAUCUCUGCAGCAAGUGUACCCUCAAAGUUAGAUGACAAGAAAGAUUAUAAAAGGGAUGGGAGUGGAGUACGAGAAGCCUCACUCUUCUCAACAGCAAAUCCAUUGUUCUUGAGAAUUUCGGCAAUAGUAACCACUGUUGAAAUAGCUGUAUACAUGUGGAAAAGGUUGUUAAUCCUUUAGAACUAUAUGGCAAGCCAAUUCAAUUAUUAAUGAGUUUGCAACAUAACACAAAAGAAUAAGUCCACAAAAAAAUGAAAAGAACAUCAAACUGUACUGUGCCACCACUAUAUAUUUCUUUGUACUUAAUAAGGUUUACCGGCAAGCCAAAGGAACCACUGCAAACAUAUUCUCAAGCACAUUCUGCUUUAUAAGUAAAAGAUCCCUGGGAAGCCGCAGGAAUAAGGUUGUGAUGAAUCAGAAUUCAUCCCAGAUACGCUCAACUAUUUUCUAUGGUUGAAAACCAUGGUCGUUUUUAUGCCAGAAGUUGGUUCAAAAUUGUUUCACUAGGAUAUCACAUCGCUGGUAAAGUGAGCAACACUGUAUUAUACUCUUCUUAUACACAAGCGGUUGCAAUAGUAAACAACGCAUUCUUGAGAUGGCAAAAAACAUCACACAUUGCAAAGAUAGGAAUUCACCAAUAAUCAAGAAAAAGCCAAUUGGGAAAAGAAAGUGAGAGUGCCUCCAUAACCCAAGCUGUAACACGGUGUAUUCUUGAUGUGAAAAGACAGCAUAAACAGAAUGUAGAAGAAGACCCAUAUGGCAUUAUAAGCAAGGGGAAACCACAAACUAGUACUCAAGAUUGAGGGUCAAGAAGAUUUACCCAUCCCAAGAGCAGAGAGUUCCACUUCAUUGUACUGUUGCAUGUACCUCUGCAAGAAACAUACCAAAUAUCUCAGGAUACGAACUCAGACCAAUAGCAACAGUUAUAGAUUCUGGUGUAAGACCAUGAAAACUAAAUAUAGAUAGUCACAUGGCUAACACUUUUCAAGAUUUUCUAAUGCAUGUCUUGCAUCCAGAAAAAGCUUCAAACAAUAUACUAUAAGUCUGACGCCAACCCUAUAAUUGUCACUAAAUAUACCUAAAGUAUUUUUUGAUAAAGAAUACCUAUGAACUGCCUCAAUUGCAGGUCCAAAUUGUUAAUUUGGAUCCUACAUAAACUCACAUCACUUCGAUUGCAAUUGCUCUAGACUUUGUGAAGUCCUGUCUGAACUGCUACUGCAGACAAUCAGAACUUGAACUAUAUUCUAAUCUUAUGUUUCUCAAACAAAAAUAUUUGUUCUUUUUAACUCUCCGUAUUACAUAUAGAAUUUUUUCUUCAAUCACCCAACUCAUCAAUUAAUUAUUGUAAUACAGAUUAGCAAUUUUCCUUCAAUCAAAAACUAAUAAAAUCCCAGAAAACUAGACCUCAGCCAACAUAAGCAAUCAAACACAUUAAAUUAACAAAGACCCUGGUUACUGUGCAUUAACUGAUAGCAUUUUGCAGGUCUCCCACUAUGAGCCAUGUCAUUUUUGAAAAUGUAAUUAAUUGUUCCCGUUCAUGAUAGUGGAAACAGUAUGCAGUCCUUAUUUUUACCUUCUCUCACAUAACUUGUCAGCAAACAACUCAACAACCGUAAAAGAAUCUAUCAUUGUUCAACAAGCAUAGACCCUCAUAACCAUUAAACGGAAACAAUUUUUGCAAAUCUAGCUGUCUUCAUAAAAACAUCCAACAAAAGAAUCCUCCAUAACCAAUUUACAGACAAAAAAGUAUAAUCAUUUUAAAACUACGUCCAAUUACCCAAAACUUCGCCAAUGGAUACACAGACUACAAUGCAUGGCUUUAUAACAUGGAAAAACAAGUAAACAAAUUUAAAUAACUAAUAGCUUAAAAUACAGUAAUAGUGUAAAAACUCCUUAUGAUUUCAAUGUAUAUAUGAUUUAAAUGGAAAAAAAAAGCACCUUUGAGAGAUUAACAUAAAAGAAGAGUGAUUUCUUGGUGUUUGAAACUUGGAUUCUGUUCUUCUUUUGUGUCUCUGAGACACUCAUCUUGUUCACUCCCUCUGUGAUUCCUUCCAUUGAUUUGCUGAUUUCUUCAGGUAAACCCUAAUUUCGCAGCCUCCUUUCCCUUUGAAGAGAGGAUCCGUAUAAUUUGGGGAAAAUUAUACCAAAACAGUAACAGAUAAACCCUCGAGUCAUAUCCAGGUGGUUUUAAGGGUUAGGCCCCUUAAACGACAACGUUUUAUGACUCUUUGAUUUUUUAUCUCUCAAAUGUACCCCUCAUCUUUCGAAAAUUAUACUUUACACCAUGAUUGGUUUUGAGGCGUAGUUAUAUUUGCUUUAGUUAUGAGAGGAAUUGUUAACCUCGGAAUUUAUUAUUAUGUCACUGGUUGUUGGUUGGGGUUUAAAUAUUUUAUGUUCAUUCAAAUCUAUUAGCAUAAUGUUUCCAAUUAAACCGUAGUUAUUAUUAUUAUUCCAUCCAUUUAAUAAAGAAUCAUUAUUAAUUUGAUAUAUUAAAGUGAUAAAAAUUACUUUGAUCCAAAGUCAUCAUGUUGGUAUAUAUGUUGGAGCAAACUGAACAGUGAAGUCAAAAUUUAGGACGAUUUAAAAGAAAUUUUGAGUUGAUCGGAAUUGAAAUUCGUAUAAGCAUAGAUUUAGAAAUAUACAUCUCUAUAUACAUGAUUAUAUAUAUAUGAUUAUUUUUUAAAUUAUUUUUUUUAUCAUCUGUACAAUUACGUAAGAAAUCCUCUUAUAUAUAAGGUGAAACAACAAAUAUUUGUGCGUUAGCUUGGCUUUCCUCAUACAGAAAUGUCUUUCCUUGAGAAUGAGAAUAAAUGAUGAAGUACAAAUUUUAAUAACAAUGCUAAUUUAUUUGUAAGUCUUUUUCUGUAAAGUAAUACUUUGGAUAUGUCAAAAUUACCCAAGGUAUUAUUAAUGGGAUCCCAUUAUUAAUUGAAGUAGAAACCCCAACUUUCAUCAUUCUCAAAUAAUUUCUUCUUAAAAUUACCUUUAUUUAUCUGCUUAACCCCAAAUUGCUAGAAAUAAAUAUAUUGUAAUAAUUAUAGCAACAAUCUUAAACCUAGUAACCAUAACAAAAGGCCAUUCUUGACAAAUAUUCCCCUCAUUUUCCUCUUCUCCUUAUUUUGAAAGUAUAUUUAUUUAGGGGUGCUUGGUUCUUCGAUUUGAUUUUAUCAAAUUUUAAUUUGAUUCUUUGAUUUUCGGUUUUGAAAAAGUAUGCACCGAAUCGAAUUAGUUCAAUUUGGUUUUAUUUAUUUCAGUAUUAUUUAAAAUAAUUUUUUUAGUGCGAAUGAAAAAUAAAAUAAGGACCAAAUCAAAGUGUAAGAUACUAAAAAAAUUAAAACAUUUAAAUGUGAUCAUUGAUCAACAACACCUAUCCCUACUCCCAACUCUCAUUAUAUUUACAAAGUUACAACUUUCGAUUCUCUUAACGAUCAACAAUUCAACAUUCAACAACUAUCAAUUCAAAUCCAAAUACAGUGAUCUAUAACGUCAUAUGAUAUGCUGAAAGAGAAUAAAAUGGGGAAGAAAAAGAUACAAUCUUUAAUCUUGGGUUUCAAGAUGAAAAUGAAUGAUAAUUAUACGAGAAGAUCGAGAUGAAAGAAGACUUAACAUACUUUUUUUUAAAUAAUUAAAAUAUAUUAUAGAAGUUUGGUUCUUUGGGUUAAAAUAUUAAUAUAUUAUAAUAUAUUUUCUAAAAAAAAAAUUUAUCAAAUAUUUUUUAAAAGUUUUCUUUGCAAGGAUUAUUUUAAAAAAAUAUAUAAUAAAAGUUUGACACAAUAAGUAUUCAUGAUGAAAAUAUUAAUUUCAAGUGAAUAUAUACAAAAUAUUGAUUGAAUAAUUGAAAGAAAUACAAUUAAGUAAUUACUGGAAUCAGUUAAAUUACUUUGUAUUUUUGACAACGAUUAAAUUACAUUGAACUUGCAAAAUUUUGCACUAUAAAUGAAUAAAACUUAACUUUUUGUUGAAUAUACACAUCUAUUGGAGUGGAUGUUAGGGUAAAAGUUAACCAGCAUAUUAUAAUUAUUUUACAAAAAUUUAAGUUUUAUGCCUUGAAAAUAUAUCUCUGACAGAAGCUAUUCACCAUUUUUCAAAGUUACCUACAAUUUCUAUUAAUUAUUAUUAUUGAGAGUUACUUGAAAUUGCAUUUUCAAUAACCUAAUUAUAUGCACACUUUUUUAUUUGAAAAAUCAAUACAUUGAACUCUUCAUAGAGAGGCAGUUCUAACAAGGUGAAAAUGUUUCACACUUUAUUAAGCACAAAUUACAAAUUUAUUUUACAACCACCAAAACAAAAAAGGAACCUAGCUACCUAGCUAGAUAACAAAUCAAACAAACACAAAUCAAGAACAAAUCACAACACAAACAUCAUUUUACAACUCAAUGAUUAAUUAAAACAAUAAACUUAACUAGCUACCAAAUCUUGGCAUUUGAUAUGCUUUAAUUCCCCGCUCUUCCCAAACCCUCCACCCUUAGCUAAUUAAUAUAAUUAACCACACUUGAAACCUGUGGGAACUUUCUUAGCACAAGCACUAACCAAAGCACUAAGUGCAACAGGAAUAUCUAAUUUGAUAAUCCCAAGUACAUUAGCCUUAAUGGCAGUGCAAAGACAAGCUGCAACUUCCAAAUCAGCCAAACCUUCAAGCAAUGAGCAACAAGGGGUUGUCACUUGGCUACCAAUUGCAACAUUUACAAGGCCAAGUAGGUCACCACAAACACCAAGCUUCAAUGUGUCCCUUGGGCAAUAAGGGUUCACUGGGGGUACCUUUGGUGUUGGGUGAGGCUUUGGCUUAAUUGGUUCACAUGAACCACAAGCACUAGUGAAUGUGACCAAAAUGAGAAGGGAAAAAAUGAAAAUGGUGGAAGAGAGGGUAGCCAUGAUUUUUCUACAGAGCUUUAGUGGUGGUGUAGCUUGGUUUCUAGAGUUUGUGAAUGAUAUGCCCUUAAGGAGUUACUAUUUAUAGAGUUUACCAACUUCUAUACAUAGACGAAGUCGUAAAAGAAUUAAGGGGUCGUUUGGUAGGCCGCAUUAAAAUAAAUAAUCCAUGUAUUAUGUGUGGUAUUAUUUAGUACUAUAUUUGGUAGGAAUUUGGGUCUAUAUAUAACUAAUCCAUGGAUUAGUUAUACCUCCUACAUGGUAUUAUAGGGUGUAUUACUAAUACCUCCAUGGAGGUAUUAGUAAUAUAUGAGAUAUAAUACCAUGGAUAAGUCUAUGUAAAGACAAAAAUAUCCCUCAAAUCAUUUUAAUUAUUUUAUUUUCUUGAUUUUAUGUUUUAUAUUUGUACUAUUAAAUUUAUUUAAAUAAAUUAGCUUACAAAUUAUUUAGAGAAAGUUGUUUGUUACUACAUAAAUCCAACACAAAUUAAUAUAAUAUUUGAAAUGUGAGUUGCUUAAUAUGUAUAUAUAUAUAUUGUGUGUGGUUUCUAAUUAUUUGUAUUUGAACAAUUUAUAAAAUUGCAUACAUAUUAAAAUUAUAACUUGCAAUAUUUUUUAUGUGUAAAUGUAGAUGAUUUAUUUAGUUUUACUAUUGUUUACGUCUUUUCAAUUUUAAAAAUUGAUAGUUUAUUCUUUUUUUAAUUGAAAAUUGACAUUUUGUAAGUAAUAAAUUUACUAAGAUGACAAUUAUUUAUCCUCAAAUAAUUUAAGUGAAAAAAAAGGCAAACAUGACAAAAAAAAUUGUUCUUCUCCUAGCUAGUUAGAAGACCAUAAAAAAAUAAUAUUUUCCGGCAAUUAUUUAUCUUAACCUAAUUACUAAUAAUUCAAGGGUAUAAUUGAAAAGAAGUUUUUUAUAAAGUUUUAACCCAAUUCCAAAAUGGGGUAGGAACCAAUGAACCAAACACUUGGUAAAAAUAAACGCUGCAUUACUAAUCCCUACACUAUUAAUUCCUGCAUUACUAAUUCCUGCACUAUUAAUCUCUACAUUACUAAUCCUAGCAUUAGUAAUCCCUGCAUUAUUAUUUUUGUACCAAACGACCCCUUAGAGUAUACCAACUUCUAUACAUAGACGAAAUUGUAAAAGAAUUUUUACGCUAUCAGAUAACAAUAUAUAAGUGACCUAUGGUAUUUAAAUUUUUCAAAAAUAUUGGCAUGCCCAUGUUAGAAUAUCUUUUAAAAAAAUAUUUUAUAUAAUUUUUGAUGAAGUUGGCAUGUGUCAUUUUUGGAGGAUUAGAUAGGGGUGUUGCAUUGUAACCCUAUCUUUAGAGAAUUUGGGCAACAUAUGUAGCAAAUACUUAACAUAAGACAUGUUACAUGCUAUAAUAAAUUUAAAAAUAUAUUAAUUGAUGAGAAAAUAAAUUUUGAAUCUAAAUCAAUUAACUCAAAAAUUAGUUUAUAAAAAUUGUUCAAGAGCAUAUAAGAAGACCAAAUUCGACUCCCAUCUCACCAUAGAUGUGAAACUCAACACCUCUUGCGCACCCAAUCUUGCCAACAUGAGCAUGGACAAUAUAAUUAAUAUGAGAUUAAUUCCAAUAUUUAUUAAAUCAAGAAUUUAUGAGAUGGACACGAUUUUAAUAUCAUGACAAAAAAAUAGACUUUAAACAUUAUUCAAUCUCAAAAAUUAAAAUUUAUGAAGCAAUAAUUAUCUAAGAUCAUAUAAGAAGCUGAUAAAUUCCUCGUCCCAUCAUUGAUGUGGGACUCAUGAAGAUUAAUAAUAUAGAAACUCUUCAUACUAUAAAUGUGUAUAAGUCAAAAUACAUUAUACAUAGGGGGGAAAUUGUGAGGUUGAAGUUGAAAUUGAUUGAGUGGAAGAGAGUGAAAAAAAAAAAACAGGAUGAUGCUGGAAUAUUUUGUAAGUUUGUGAAGAAAUUAAGUUUAUUUGACCUCAUAUGGCUAAUUUCCCUGGUCACCAUGCAACGUGUAUAGUAGACAGGACAAUGUAAGCCAGUGGGCACAUUAUCUGUCAUGGACCUACCUUAUUUUUAUUUUUUUUACGAUAGGUAAAAAAUGUAGACAUUAAUCGUUGAUUUCUAUAACUUAUUUGCAUCGAAUGUGUAUAUUAAAUCGAUGAAUAUAAGAUAUAUAUAUUGUAUAUAUAUUUUACAUGUGAAUGAUUGGAAGAUAGAAGGGAGGAAGGAAGGAUUAAGUGAAAUCGAUUUAUGUUUCUGUUAGUUAAAUAAUUCAACAUUCAAUGUGCACCAUUCGAACUUUAUGGAGCAUUGAGACGACCGAAUAUAAUAUUAGAUCUAUUCUACUUAGAAUAUAUACAUAAAAUACUAUUAAAAUUAUUUCUAAGCAUUUAUUUUUAGGUAAAAAAAAUACAAAAGAAAAAAGUUAAAAAAUUAAAAAUUGGAUAUGACCAACUUAUGACUUUUUACUUAUAAGUUACUUAAAAAAAAAAACCCAAUUCAAACACUCCUUUGUAGUAAUGGAUGAAUCUACUACUAUACCUCAUCUAUUGAUCAGUAUAACAGAGCAAAUGAUGGUACAGUAAUGAACAUAGAAAUGAUACUAGCAAAUAUAAUCCCAAGAAUCUCGAUUGUAAUUCCAUGACCAAUUAAUCCUUUGCGGUACUAGAAUUUUUGUGACAAAUCCACCCACCCUAGAUAUUAUAAAAGAGAUUAACUUCUCUCUAUAGACAAUAUAGUAUAUUUUCCUUUUUAAACUUAUUAAGUUACCACUUAAAAGAUAAUUAGAGGCACUGUAUAUAAUAUGUGAAUUAGUAACGUGAUUUGUUGGACGAAUAAUGAUGCAAUACUAGCUAGCAUAGGUAAAAUUAUAGUAUUGAUGAUGAUAAAAAGUUUUAUGCUACUAUACAAGUUAAAUCAUGUUUGUAAAUUAUAAAUUAUAAAAACCAUGGCCAUUUAAAAAAAAAUUAAAAAUUAAAAAAUGAAUUCACAAUUAAUCUUGAUGUAUAGCAAUAAUAUUGUACAAAUAUCAUAUGGAAACAAUAUAUCUUUAAUAAUGUUUCCUUGUCCUAUGUGUAUGGUUAUUUGGUCACAUCAAUUAUUGAAGCAAUACAAUUUUACAUGUGCAUUAUGUCUGGCCUGCAUUGCGUUGCUGCCAUUUCCCUCUUCUUUUACUUGUUUUUUUCUUUUGAAAAUGACAGCCAGAUGUAUCAAAUUCUGUGUAACGCGCUUUUGAAGAAGGAUUUAACGGAUCAUAUUUCCUUAAGUAUAAUACAAUUUAAUCUUACUUUUCUCCUAGAAAAGUUAGUUUUACGAAUUGAACAUGUUAGGUAAAAUUGCAUAAUGACAAAGCAGACUCGGAGGAAAAUGUAGUUAUUUAGUUGCGGGUUAUGAAGAAAGAAAAAUAUUUUCAAUUUUUCUAUGGUUGGUGUGACAAAAUGUCUUGAAAAAAAAAAUUCUCCACAAAAACAAGUUCCAUAAAAAUGCGUUAAAUGACUUUCCAAAUAGAAGUAGGGAAAACAAGUUUUACGAGUGAAAUUCCAAGUUCAUUGUCUCCUCCACAACCAUCCAUGCAUGAUGCACCCAACCAACACCCUCCGCCAUCCGCGAUCCCCUAUUCCCCACUCCAUCCCACACCAAUUCUUGAAAUAAUAAUCUAUAAAGAUUAGACAAUCAAAAAUAUUUAGAAAAGUAAAUGGUAAAGAUUGUUAUGACUAUCUACAACAAUGGGAGGGAUUAUUUUUAUCAUUUUAGCGGAUAAGAAUUAAUUAAUUAGAGGUAAAAAUUAAAUCAAUUAUAAUAAUUGUAAAAAAUAAAAAUAAAUCUUCACCAUUUAUUUUUCUAUUGUCUAGUUCUUAUCUCUUUUUUUUCUUUUUCUUUUUUUUAUAAAAUACUUUUUACACCAUUAGGAUAUCUAUUUUAGAAACGGUUGUCGUCACCCUUUUUAUCUUUUCCUUCAGUUAUAGAACGACCAUUUGUUUUUCAAUAUCAUAUAUUUGGGUAAUCAGAGUAGGUUUUCCAUCUUGAAAGAUGUCUAAUAUAAGCUAUUGUUCAAGAUACUCUUCUCAAUGGUUAGUUCAUUGAAGGAAUCAAUUAGUACAACAACUAGCUUUCUCAAUUUUCUAAUGGAAAAGAUAUUCACUCAUCAUCAUCCCCCCAACCCCCGGGAGGCUCGAGGCGCCGGCCCCCCCNNNNNNNNNNNNNNNNNNNNNNNNNNNNNNNNNNNNNNNNNNNNNNNNNNNNNNNNNNNNNNNNNNNNNNNNNNNNNNNNNNNNNNNNNNNNNNNNNNNNNNNNNNNNNNNNNNNNNNNNNNNNNNNNNNNNNNNNNNNNNNNNNNNNNNNNNNNNNNNNNNNNNNNNNNNNNNNNNNNNNNNNNNNNNNNNNNNNNNNNNNNNNNNNNNNNNNNNNNNNNNNNNNNNNNNNNNNNNNNNNNNNNNNNNNNNNNNNNNNNNNNNNNNNNNNNNNNNNNNNNNNNNNNNNNNNNNNNNNNNNNNNNNNNNNNNNNNNNNNNNNNNNNNNNNNNNNNNNNNNNNNNNNNNNNNNNNNNNNNNNNNNNNNNNNNNNNNNNNNNNNNNNNNNNNNNNNNNNNNNNNNNNNNNNNNNNNNNNNNNNNNNNNNNNNNNNNNNNNNNNNNNNNNNNNNNNNNNNNNNNNNNNNNNNNNNNNNNNNNNNNNNNNNNNNNNNNNNNNNNNNNNNNNNNNNNNNNNNNNNNNNNNNNNNNNNNNNNNNNNNNNNNNNNNNNNNNNNNNNNNNNNNNNNNNNNNNNNNNNNNNNNNNNNNNNNNNNNNNNNNNNNNNNNNNNNNNNNNNNNNNNNNNNNNNNNNNNNNNNNNNNNNNNNNNNNNNNNNNNNNNNNNNNNNNNNNNNNNNNNNNNNNNNNNNNNNNNNNNNNNNNNNNNNNNNNNNNNNNNNNNNNNNNNNNNNNNNNNNNNNNNNNNNNNNNNNNNNNNNNNNNNNNNNNNNNNNNNNNNNNNNNNNNNNNNNNNNNNNNNNNNNNNNNNNNNNNNNNNNNNNNNNNNNNNNNNNNNNNNNNNNNNNNNNNNNNNNNNNNNNNNNNNNNNNNNNNNNNNNNNNNNNNNNNNNNNNNNNNNNNNNNNNNNNNNNNNNNNNNNNNNNNNNNNNNNNNNNNNNNNNNNNNNNNNNNNNNNNNNNNNNNNNNNNNNNNNNNNNNNNNNNNNNNNNNNNNNNNNNNNNNNNNNNNNNNNNNNNNNNNNNNNNNNNNNNNNNNNNNNNNNNNNNNNNNNNNNNNNNNNNNNNNNNNNNNNNNNNNNNNNNNNNNNNNNNNNNNNNNNNCUCGAGCCCCCCACCCACCCCGGGAAGCUUGAGGCGUCGUUCCCCGAGCCCCCCCACCAUGAAUUGAUUAAGGAUAAACUCAAAGACUUUUAUUUAAUGCUAAUAAAAAUUAAAACUCUAAAUCAAAGGAGUGAAGGAAAAAAGAAAAAUUUGACGUAUUUAGGAUACGAGGAUGAUUCUGUACUUCCAUCAGCUUUAUUAGGGGGCACUUUCUUCAAAGGCAUCAGUUUUAUUUUUUCCCUACAGUAAUGAAAUUAUAGUUCACAAACCCAAUAAUUUAAGCUUGUUGAUUUUUUCUUCAAAUAUCAGCCACAUCAAUUAUGCAUCAAAAAGUAGACUUCACAUAUAAUAUUGGAACUUCACCAAGAGACAAGUUUAUUAUGCACUUCUUUUUCCAGAUCAUGCUAAGCACUUAAAAUAUCACAAGAAAUGAUGAUGAAAUUCCACUAGCUAACAAUAAAGUCAAUCUUCAAAUAAAUGUAUCAAUUGCAAUGCUCCAUUUGUGGUAAAAAAAUUCAAGAAAAUGUUCACCCAACUCUACAAAGCUAUAUCUAGUUUAACCAUUGAUCUAUGGCUUUUUAAGGAGCUCAGUAGUACUGCAAUUUCACAUAAAUAUAUCAAGGGAGAUGCUCCAAUAGUGGUUUAAAAGUCAAGACACUGAACCUCCCAACUCUACCAAGCUAUAUCCAAUUCAACAAUUAUUAGCUAAGGGUUUCUUUUCAGAGCUCAGUCAUACUGCAAUUCCUUUCUUCAUAGUUCAUCACAUUUAGACAGAACAUGCAGUUUCAAUGUCAAGUUGAAAGCAUUCAAAAGAUCAGCUAAAGGAUGAACUUGAACCUAACUCGUUUACUAUAUUUUACUAGAGCUUCAAAAAAUAAAAGCAAAAAAACUAAACAGUGCUCUACAUUACCUGACACCAAAUAUAUUAAUUUUUUUCAGGAUAAAGCAAAUGCUAUUUAUCGAUUCUAGUAACAAAAUCAUUUUAAGCCAAAGAACCACUAAAUAUUCAACAUACUAUGUCUAAGAACAGCAAAAGGCAUUUCAUGCCAUACAAGAUUGUAUUUCUCGGCAUCAUAACAUACAACACGACAAAAAAUUACCUUCUUCAACUCCAUCUUUGGAGGUGCAGGUUCCUGAUAAAAGCUUGGAAGCAGAAGUGUCACAACACCUUAGUCUUGGCUUACAUAUUACUCUUCUCAACUUCCUCUGCCUGGUUUUUUUUUUUAAGCUUGGAGUAAAACUGUCCAAAUAACAAGACAAAUGUUCUUAGAUUGACUUCACGGUGCAAGACAAUCAAGUAUAUAUUAUAAGCUUCACUGAUGCAAGCAGAGGGCUAAUAUCUUUUCUUUUCUCAGUUCUUUCAUCACACUUGAAACUGCUAUUGUAGGUUGGAAGAGUACCUACUUUGCGAGGUUUGGCAUCUGAUGCAGCAGUAGGACUGCUAUGAAGUGAUCAAGGAUAAACCGAAAGACUUUUAUCAUGCUAAUAAAAAUAAGAACUCCAAAUCUAAGGAGUGAAGGAAAAAAGAAAGAUUUAUAAGGAUACGAAGAUGAUUCUGGACUUCCAUCAACUUUAUUAGGGAGCACUUUCUUCAAAGGCAUCAGUUUUGUUUUUUCCUUGCAGUAACGAAAUUAUAGUUCACAAACCACUGGGGAAAAGUUAUCAUUGAUUGUUUGGCACGUUUUGAAAGCAUUCUCAAUACAAUUAUCAUUUGACUCCUCCAAGUAAUAGGUAAGAAACUACAAGAGAAAUCGGACAUACUUAAGGCCUUCAGACUGAGCAACACUCGGAGAAGCUGAUGCUGCUACUUCAGCAUGACCAGGUUGCUGCUAGAAGACAGUAGAAAAAGAAUAUGAUAUUGAUGACAAUAAACAAGAUGCAUAUGAAGCUAACAGAAAAUGCCUCAUGAGUCAUGAUUAAAACAUGUGUUUUAAAGUAUAAUCAAACCCCAAUAGUAGGCUCUAAAGAAAUACAGUCUCAUUUGUGGUACUGAGUUUAUUCAGGUUAAUGUAUUCGUCUUUCUUGUUAUUCUUAGAAAGUAAUUCCUGAAGAGGAUGAAGAUGAUUAUGAACAUGAGCCUCAUGUACACAUUGCGUCAAAUAAAAUGAAUCAAGAAAACAUUUCACCCUAUGUAGAAGCCAGGUCAAAAGUCGAGCAAAUUAAUACAAACCAAAAGCAAUCUCCCAAGGUCUUCCCUAAAGUGGAGUCCCCUAAAACUCCUUAUUCAUAAGAGCUUUCACCCCUGUGUUACGUCUCUUGUUUGGACAUGUUAAGGACUCAUCCAUGUCUAAUUCUUUGCAUUUAUACCAAGAGUUAAAAAUUAACUCUGCAGACUCCGAUAAAGAAAUGACAGUAUGUUUCAAACCCCUAUUUACAUGAUUUUUUCCUAUCUGGUUUCGAGACAUCUGUGAUAGUUGCUUACACAUGCAUGUGCAGCAUGAAACUGUGGGGAAAAGAAAAUGCUCGAAGGCGGAGCCUUAUUCAAUCAUUAGAAAAAGGGUAUGUCUGUACAAGUCACUUUCUAGUUUCUAAUAUAGGAGGUGAUCAAAUUUUUCUAAAUCUUUUCGAACAAUGACAGUUCUCCGAAUAAUAGUGAUAAAUGAAGUCUCAGCUGCAUUUCUCUCCCAUUGUAAGAUAAGUCGACUGCUCCAUCAAGGACACCAAAAGAUUUUGUCUGUCCAAUAACUGGACAAAUAUUCAAUGAUCCCGUCACCCUUGAAAUCGAUCAAACAUAUGAAGGGAAAACCAUCCAGGAAUGGAUAAAAAGAGGUAAUACAACAUGCCUCAUUACUAGGCAGUCUUUAUCUGCAACUACUCUUCCUAAAACCAAUUAUGUCCUGAAGAGGCUGAUAACCUUUAGGAGGGAACUGCACCCUGAUCUAGCUCAGGAGUUUUCGUACUCGCAAACACAGCGAAGUUAUUUAAACAUUUCGUCUUCAAGAGAGAGAUCAUCUGAGUCUACUCCAUCUCUGACAUUUCAUCAUCCCAAUCAUAGGAGGAUAGAGGAAAUCGUGGAACAAAGAUCACGAAGAUUUAUGCGAGUAGCUGUAUCAAUGUCGUCUCUUACUAGUGUAAUUUCUCAAGCAGCAACUAAGGCAAUUAUCAAUAACUUAAAACCUUAUGUUUCAUGUAUGUGCACUUCAGAGGACUUACAAGAAUGUGAAGCAAUAUUGUCUAUAACUAAGAUAUGUAAUGACUCGAAACUAGAAUCUAAAGGAGUUCACUCUUAUUUGUCAACACUAACAAUAGUGAAUGAAUUUGUAGAGGUAUUAUCAGCUUCCAUAAAGAGAGAUGUCUUGAAGAUGACAAUUUAUAUCUUGUCUGACCUACUAUAUGCAAAGGAUAGUGUUGGCGAGAUCCUCACAAGUGUGGACUCGGAUUUUGAGUGUCAUGCUACGUUAUUGAAAGACGAUCUUCCUGAAGCAGCAUUACUUAUUUAACUACUCAGACCAUCAUUCUCUCAACUUUCAGCUCAUAAUUUUGUACCCUCUCUUACUCAGAUUAAAUCAAACAGAAAUGAGUAUUCUAGUGAUUUUCAGUUCACAAUAGGACCAAAACAAAAAAAGAAAUCCCACAAAUCCUCGCAUAUCAAAAAUCCUCAAAUCACUUCACUUGAUUUUCCCAAAUUAAUUUUUACCCAGAAUCAUCAAUCAUCUUUUCACAAAACCCCACGUAACAUUAAUCAUUUUACUUAUUACAUCCAAGAAAGAAGACCCCCCAAAACAAAGAAAUCACAAAACCCCAUAACCAGCAUACAAAAAAGUGAACCAUCAAACAAGAUAAAACCCAAUACUCAAACAGUAAAAAAAAAGUACACAUAAUAAACAUAUAUCAAAAACAGAGAAAGACUCACAAGUUUGGAGGAAUGAUUUUUCUCCACCGCCAAUGAAUUGCCAGUCGUUUCUUGGCCGCUACAGCAAUCAACUUUCCGGUCUGAUUUUUCUCCACCGCCGAUGAAUUGCCUCCAUUGCUUGUCUCUUCGCCACCGCACUCGAAAUAGACAACGCCUAUUCUGGGGAAAAUUGGGAAAAACACUGAUUUGUUACCGUUACUAAAGAUGUGACAAUUAAAACUUUACAUUAUUCCAUUUUACAUUAAAACUUUGAUUGGACACCAAAUUUUAAAAAAAUAAUAAAAGAUUUUUUAAAUUUGUGAUCUUAAGUAAUAGUUUUGAAUUUCAAUACACUACACUAUAUAGUGAUUUUUUUUUAUGUGUUUUAGGUUUAGGUUUAUUUGAACCAUUAUCUAAAUACUGAAUAGUUUGUAAAUUCGGGAUAAACGAAGAUAGUAAUCUGAAAAGUAACUAUUUGUCAAUUUCUCCCAAAUUUAGAGAUUCAAAAAGCAGUUAAUAAUGAAUUUGAUGAUUUUAUUGUUGCUAGACAAUAUUGAAGUUCAAUUUGUAAAGAAAAAAUUGCACAAGUUUCAUAAAAAAAAUAUUGCCCACCUUUGAAAAGGAAUAAUAUUUUAGAACUUUUAGUUAACGUACUCAAAUCUCUAUAUUAAUAAAUUAUUUUCUUGUAACAACAUCUAAAGUAAUAUACAGUAAACACGUGGCUAAUAUCUUGUUAACUUAAAUCGAUACUUACACAUAUAAGUAUUAGUAUCAUCAGGUGAAUUUAAAUAUUUGAUGUCUUGUAAGAAUUAUUUUAUGAAGUUAAAUAUUUUAUGUCAAGUAAGAAUAUUACAUGGUAGAUUAUAACAUGGCAGAUUAUAACUUUGAAAAAAAAGGCUAAAAUUAUUCUUAUACUUUCAUUUAUUAGCUAAGUUUGUUCUUCGAUGUAUUAUUUGACUAUGACACAAAAAUUGUAACAAACAAAUAUGGAUAUAGCUUUAUUCGAAACAGACGAACGUCGUCAUCGUCAUUUCCUCCAAUGGGGAAAAACUUUACUGAUUUGUGACCGUUUAAUUCGGUUCAAAUUGGACAGGUGGUAUUUUUAAUUUAUUUUUUAAAAAUAUUAUUAUUUUCUUUAUCUUGUAUUUAAAUUGAGUUAAUACACAUUUUUUGUAUCCAAACUAUUUUUUACCUUCAUUCAUUAUUUUUUUCUCUUUUAUUUUUCAAUUGAUUUUAUUUUCUUCGCCUUUUGUUUUGAUUUGAUUUCAGAUUUAAUUCCAAAUGUCUUGUAUUUAAAAUAAGCUAAUUUUAAAUAGAUAUCAAAAUAAGUGAAAUCAAAUAAAACAUAAAAAAAAUUAUAAUGUUAAAAUUAAAGGAAACUUUUAAAUUAUUUUAAAUAAAAUAAUUAAAAGUGAAAAGAUAAUAAAUUAAUUUAAAAAGUUUAAAGUGAAAUAAAUUAAAAUAAAUAUUUUAAGAAGAAAGAAAUAUAAAUAAUUUAAUAUAUAUAAGUUUUAAUAUCAAUAAAUAUGUGUACUAACUAAUAAUAAACUAAAUAUUUUUCGAAGAAAGAAAUAAAAAUAAUUUAAUGUAUAUAAGUUUUAAUAUCAAUAAAUAUGUGUACUAACUAAUAAUCAAAAAAUGACAUUGUCCAAUUUAUGCAGUCAUGGCUUGCUUUCAAGAGAAUGUGCACACUCUCUAUGCCAUGUCAACAUUUGUGGUGUAUUUAUUUCAUUUUAAAUUAGUUUAGGAUGGUAAUAUAUAGGACCCUAGUUAAGUUUAUGCGUGUCUUCGGAAUUUAAGUCAUAUUCGAAUUCGAGAGGGUAUUUGUAUCUUAUCCCAAAUACUUUUUGCAAAAAUUAUAACCAAGUACAACUAUUUUAAACUCCUCCACAAAUUCUAACUAAAAUGAAAAAUAUUUAUAGUCUACAAUCAUACGUCUACUAAGACUAUUAAUUUGAAGUGAAGUUCAUUUUUAAUCCAUAGGGUUUGUUUCAAAAUUUUGGAAUUACAUUUGGAGAUUAUUUUGAAUUAAUUUUUGUUUAUUAAACUAGUCACAUUUGAAAAAAAGCUUCCUGAAGUUCAUUGACAAAAAAUUGAAUUGUAUUUUUACGUCCAAACACAAUAAAAAGAAAUGACCUAUUUUAGGUCUUAUCUCUAAGUACUUGUAUUUCAAUUUAUGUGAGACAUUUUUAAUUUAUUCAAUUCUGGAAAGAAUGUAUUUAUUUUUCUUGAUUGACAAAUAUUUGAGAAAUUAUCAAUUUUUGCUCAUAUUAGGUCUCACUUAUUUGACAAAAAGUUCAGUAAUGUUAUUCUUCUAUUUAAAAAUUCAUUUCCUAAAGAUAGUUUUGACAAUUAUAAUUUUUUAUAUUUCCUAAUAUUCAUGUUCAGUCAAUUUACAUAUAUUAUAAAAAUAAGAACAAAUGGAGUAAUUACUAUGAAUAAUUUGUCCUAUGGUUCAUAUUGAUACUCUACAAACUUUCUAUAAAUAGAAUUAUAUUCUUUUUGAGGUUUUAUUUCUCUUAAAAUAAUUUCAAAAAUGAAAUUGUACGUUUCUCCAUUCUCUAUAAAAUAAUCUGGGAGUUAAUUUUUGUCAAUUGCAUACUAAAAUUACUUUUGUUUCAUAAAAUGCCAACUAAGAGAGAAGAAAGUCUUUGAAGUGUUUAGUGUAUUUUUAAAAAAAAAACUAGAAAUACAGUAGUUGAAUGAUAUUCACAAACAUUUUUUAUAGACAAUUCUCAAAAUACGAGUGACCAUCCAUGCAAACAACUCGUUAAUUGAAAUGUAAAACUUCUUUUCUUAAAGAGAAGUAAUUCUUCCUUAGUCUGAACAUAUAUCAUAUACUUCAAUGUCAUAUUUAUAUUGAUUAAAAAUAAUUUAACGUUUACAUUAAUAUAAUGAUUCAUAGUGAUAGAAAUAUCUACGAUUUGUUUUAGACCAUAAAUUUUAAAAGUAUUUUUUUUUAAAAAUAUUAUUUUAAAUUAAACGAUACCAUAUAAAUUGAGAUGGAGUAAUAUUAUAUAUAUAGUACAACAUUUUGUCAUACGAUACUUCAAGAAAUGCUCAGGAAAGUUUUGUCAUUUUUGUAGGUCUUAUCCAAUGUAAGAAGCUAAAAAAGCUAUGAACAUUGUUUUGCCAAUUAAAAAAAUAAAUAUCCGUAGAUUCUCUCUCCUUUGGAAAAGUAAUAAUUCAAACAAUGUUGAUCCAAUAGAUUGCUAGUUGUCAUUUGUUAAGUAGUAGACAUAUGUUUCAAUUUAUUUGUCUUAUUUUUUUUAGUUUAUUUUAAGAUGCUUUUUUAUAAUUUUUUAAUUCUAUUUUUUCACGUAACAUAUUUUGAAACCACAAAAUUAAAAGACAUUUUGAUAUAUUUUACGUAUUUUUAGUUUAAGAUCGUAAGAUUCAAUUUUUUUUAAAAAAAUUAUCUUAAAUUUCGUGUCAAGUUAAAAUCAAUAACAUUGAAACUGUGAAAGUAAUGUAUGUGUGGAAUUAGAGAUAUUUGUUGCAUAGACGAAAAAAUGACAGAGAUAAUCUCUUAUAUUUAAGAUAAGUUUAAGAUAGACCUUUAAAUUCGGAGUUGAUAUAGUUUAGACAAAAUCAAAAUCCUAUUUUUUUUUUUUUAAUAUUUGAUUUGCAUUUCAAAAUCAAGUAUUUUAAAAUUUUGUCCAAGAUUUUAAAGUUUUAUAAAUCUUAAUACUAAUUGCAAUACUCUACUAAUCAAUCAAUAUACUCACUAGGCUAGAUGAUAUAUGCUAAAAACCACAACUUUUUUUUUAUUAUUUAAAGUUUUACCUCAGGUUAGUUAAGUAACUUCUCGAGCAAUUUUAUAUUACAACUCAAUAAUAAAAAAUAUUAUAAUAUACUCCUAAUCUAGAAAGCUAAACAGACUUCACAAUAGGUUACAUAAUCCAAGCCUAAUCAACUCAAGAACUAAAACAAUUUUGUUAUUUAUAUAUAUANNNNNNNNNNNNNNNNNNNNNNNNNNNNNNNNNNNNNNNNNNNNNNNNNNNNNNNNNNNNNNNNNNNNNNNNNNNNNNNNNNNNNNNNNNNNNNNNNNNNUAAUAUAGCUUAAGAUCAUACAAAAAUAAAGUUUUUUCAUUGAAAAAGAAGAAAUAACUUUGAAUUUUAAUAAUAAAAAAUUUAAUAAAUAAAUAUUAUUCCCCCGAUUUAUUUUUUUCUUUAGGCACUAAUUAGCUUGAGCCUCCACUGAAAAAUUAAGCUAUAAUGUUGAAACCAAACACAAGCGGAACAGGGAGAAACUAAAUGGAAAUAAAUUACCUUUUCCGAAGCAGCAUUCUGGAAGUGAUAAAAUGCUUCCACCACCACGAGGCCUGACUCAAGAAGCAGAGACCUGAUGCAAAACUUGAGAGUUUAAAUGUGAAGGACCAAUCAAGUGAAGACACAUAGGGUAAUGUGUCAUUUUGGGUGAUGGGUGAUGAAGGUUCACUAUAAUACAAACACAAUUUUUUAUUUUUUUAAAAAAAAAUAAUUUUUCUUAAAAAAAUAUUGUUCCUAAAAAUGGAUGUUGAGUAUUAUAUAUAUGUUUAAAAAAAUCCUAUUUAACACGAAUUAUAUACAUGUAAAAAUAACUAAAACUAUAACAAUCGCAGGUAAUAAUUCACCACUUCAAAAAGAUAAGUAGGUUUAAUACUCUUAUAACUACUAAAUUCAUAAAAUUUAAAUUAUAAAUUUAUUUUUAUUUAUUCCCUUCUAAUUAUAUAUAUUCACAAUUUUUUUGACAGCACAUUUAACAUGGUUUCAUAUUCGAUUUAUAUUAAUAUGUAAAAAAAAUUAUUUCUUUAUUGUUGUGUGUCAUUAAUAUAUUUUUCUAUUAAGAUUAGAUUUUUGGAUCCUACUUAAGUCAAUGGCUAUUUACUGUGCAUAUGAAUGAUUUGAUUUUACUUAAAAUUUAAAAUUUUGUAGAAUUGCAAUUUAUGUUAGAACAUUAAUAUAUUUUCCUAUUAUGGUUAAGCUUUGGAUUUGUUUUUGCUAAAGUAAAUUAGGAUUCUGAUUUUGCUUCUUAUAAAAGAAAAAACUAAAGAAUUUUGGUAUGUAAUUUAUUUUACAGCUAAUUGUAUUCGUAUUUGUUAACUUCAACAAGAUAUUUCAUUAUAUAAUUUCCUUUUAUAUUAUUGCAUCUUAAUUUAUUUCCCAUUAAGAAUAGAUUUUUGAAUCCUACUUAAGUCAAUGGCUAUAUAUUGUGCAUAUUAAUGAUUUGAUUUUACUUAAAAUUUUAAAUUUUGUAGCACUGCAAUUUAUGUUAGAACAUUAAUAUAUUUUCCUAUUAUGGUUAAGCUUUAGACUUGUUUUUGCUAAAGUAAAUUAGGAUUUUGAUUUUGCUUCUUAUAAAUAAAAACUAAAAAAUUUUGGUAUGUAAUUUAUUUUACAGCUAAUUGUAUUCAUAUUUGUUAACUUCAACAUGAUAUUUCAUUAUAUAAUUUCCUUUUAUAUUUGAUUUUACUUAAAAAAUUAAAUUUUGUAGCACUGCAAUUUAUGUUAGAACAUUAAUAUAUUUUCCCAUUAUGGUUAACCUUUAGAUUUGUUUUUUCUAAGUAAAUUAGGAUUUUGAUUUUGCUUCUUAUAAAAAAAACUAAAAAAAUUUGGUAUGUAAUUUAUUUUACAGCUAAUUGUAUUCAUAUUUGUUAACUUCAACAUGAUAUUCAUUAUAUAAUUUCCUUUUAUAUCAUUGCAUCAUUAAUUUAUUUCCCAUUAAAGUUAAAUCUUUGAAUCUUAUUCAAGUCAAUGUCUAUUUAAUGUAAAUGCAUAUAAAUAAAUUUAAGUUUACUUUAAAUUUGAAAUUACUCUAAUUUGCAAUUUAUGUUAUUUCUAAUUAUAAUCAAUUAUUUUUUAUUGUCUAUUUGAAUUUGAUUAAUUUAUGCAAAAUAUUAAGAUAUUUCCCAAAAUAUUAAGAUAUUUCCUAUUAUAGAUAACUUUCAGAUUUAUUUUGUUACUAUAUUGUUUUGUUUAUCAUACAAAAAGUUUUUUUUUUUUUUAAAUGGAGUAUUAUUUUGUCUUUUUAAAAUCAUAUUUUCUAACUUUAACUUAAUAAAUUUCAUGAGUGUAUUAAAAUAUUUGAUUAAAAAAUUAUAUUUUAAUAAUGUGGUGAAUAUACAAAAUAUAUUUACAGUAUAAUAUUGAAUUAAUUUCCUAAUUUUCUGUAUGAUGAAAAUAUUAUUUUUAUUUGUGUUGUUUGACUAAAGAAUUAAUUAUAUGUCAUUUAAUAAGAAAAUUGAUGUAUAUAAAUAAGUGCGAUGUCAUCUUUUCAUAAGUAUCAUUUGUUGAAAAACGUUUUAUUUAGGCAUGGAGAGAAAAAAGACUAAAGGACGUCAAAAGAUACCAAUGAAAAAAAUUGAAAAUAAGGAUUCCAUGUUUGCUACAUUUACAAAGCGUCGUGAGGGUUUGUACAAAAAAUCUAGCGAACUCGCUACAGAAUGCAAUGUUGACAUUGGAAUAAUGAUGAUUUCCUCUACUGGUAAGCCUCAUUCAUUUUUUCACCCUACAGUUAAUGCAGUUAUUUCUCGUUUUCAGAAUCCUGAUAUGCAGUUAGGUGAAAGUACAAAUCUAGAAGCAAAUGCUGCUAGAAAUGAAGUGAAUCAACUCAAAACUAGGCUUGAAGAACUUGAUGUCAUAGAAGACAUUGCGAUUGCUAAGAAAAAUUCUUAUGAACAAAUGGAAGAAACAAGACAAAAAGGUUGGUGGGAGUCGACUGAGAAGCUCAAUCCAGAUGAAGUGUUCAUAUUUGAAACUUGGUUAAAUGAAACUAGUUCUAAUUUACAUCAUCGUUUGAAUCAAUUAGAAAUUGAAGCUUCAUCCUCAAUGAGAUAUGAAUCUUUUGGAGUGUGAAAUUUGAAAAGUUCAAAUUGCAAAUGAUUCACCCUAAAUUAUCACUUAUGGAUAUAUUAGGGAAGACUCUAGUAAGUCUAAAUCUAUAUUAAUAAGUUGUUGUGUUUUAAAUAAAAUUAUUUCAAUAAAGCUACAAGCAUGUAUCUGAUAUGAUUUUCAUUAAUAAUAUAUUGAUAUGGUUAGUCUGAAUUAUUGUUUAUGAGAACAAAAUUUCAUGUGUUGUUUAGAAAUACUUUUAUAUAUAUAUAUCGACAUAAUUUAUCGAUGACUGCAUAAAAUUGACAUCAAAUUUCAUUUAAACAUCUCAACUAAAAUUUAUUUAUUUUAAACACAUCAAAUUAAUAAGACUUGAUGAUGUCAUUUCAACAUGUUUUACUAAGUCGGCACAUUUCUAUAUGUUUUACUAAGUCGGCACAUUUCAACACGUUUAACUAGGGAUGACAAUGGAGCGGGGGGAUGCAGGGCGGCGUGGGUAGAAUGCGGGGCAGAUUGAGAUGGGUGUUUUAUAAACUAAUGCGGAAUGGGGCAGAUUGAGGAUAUAUAUGAUUUUAUGUUGGUUCAAACUUAAAUUUAACUUUUUACAUGUUAUAAGAGUGAUAGAGCAUUAUUUAUUAAGAUAAUUUUUAUAAAGCUACUAAAAUAUUCAAGAUAGUAAAUCAAAAUGGUUCAAUAAAGAAUAUACAAUUUCUUACAUGUAUCCCAAUGACCUCUAAAAAUAAAUUUUUAAGUCACUAUCCUAUUAAAUUAAUACAACUUAAUGAAAAGUGAAUUUAUUUUUAUGAAUUUUAUUUUUAGAAUCAAACUUAACUAGAAAAAUAAAAUAUUUAAAAAUUUAUGCAGUGCGGUGCAGAGUGGGGUGGGGCGGAUUGAAAAUGAAAAAAGUUAUUAUGUGGGACAUGGCGAGGCAGAUUAAAAAAUAUGCGGGUUAAGCUCAACCCCCACCACCCCAUUGUCAUCCCUACAUUUUACUAAGUCGGCACAUUUCAACAUGUUUUAAUAAGAAGGUCAUGCUUGUUAAAGGAGGAGAAGAUGUGAAAACGGGGGAGAAAAAAAAGAAGUGGUGCAUAUUUUUUUUAUUUUCUUCUUUAUUGAAAUGUAGUUUUUAUUAAAAGUAAUUAAUCAAAUAACUUUAAACAUGAAUUUUUGUUCACAAUUUAUAUUUUUAACAAUUAUUUUUGGUAUAUAUGUCACAUGUUUUUAUUUAAUUCGCUACUUUGACAUAUCAUCGGCAACUGUGUUACACGCAUCUUAAUAUUUAAAUAAGCGUCAAAAUGACAUAAUGAAAUUUCACAUGAGGUUUUUAAAAUGAACAAACCUUAAUUGAGGUGUCUAAGUGAAAGUUGAUGUCAAUUUUAGGUGGCCACCGACGAUUUUUGCUUAAUAUAUUGCAUACAAAAGCAUUUGUAUACAUUACAUCAAUGAAUCGUGAUUAAUUUUUCCUCUCAAUUGAUUUAUGAUUAAAAAAAUAAAUAUUGUGUUGGUGGUUUAAUUUAAGCUGAGGCGCGGAUAUUUCGCUCUCUUUAAGGAGAUUCAAGCCCACUGCAGCAUAAUCUACACCGAUCCAGCAAUAAUACUCUUGACUUGUCCUUCCAAGAUACAACAACCCAACAACAUCGUACAACUCAAGCAACUCCAGAUUUAGUUGAAGAGUCCAAAGCUUUAUAUAAGAACACCUUCCUUCAACAUAUAAAUAUUCUCUUUUCUAUAUAUAGUGAAUAUAGUUGAAGACUUGGAGUAUUUUCUUUGUCUCAAUUCUCUCUUUCACUACACUUACCUCACUAUACACUACAAUAUUAUUCCACACAUCUCAUCUUUUUUUGAUAUCCCCUUCAUAAAUGAAGAAAUACCACUGUUUAUAGGGGAGAAAUUCUUCUUUGUAUUGAAUAAGAAUAAUGUGGAUAUAUAUAAUGUAGGUAAAUGAAUGGUCUAAAUGUUACAUAAGUUACAAUGUAUAAUGAGGUAGAAUAAUGAGUGGAAUUAAUGGUAGAUCGUGUCAAUAAUGGUUAUAAGAGUUACAUCAAAAUAAUGACCACAUUCUCGUCAACUUAUACCACUAAACUUAACUUAAUAUUUUAAUAUUAAAAUGCAUAUACACCAACAUAUUGUUCAUCUAUUUUUUUGUGAUAAUAUAUACCAUGACACAAAAAAAUGAAUUCUUCAAAGUAGAUUAAGAUAUAUGUUAGAUUUUUCUGACACAAGGGGGAGAAAAUAAGCAACUAUGAAAUACUCGAUAAAUUAAUAAUUUCUCUAAGAUAAUGUAACACCCCAAAAAUUUCUAAGUUAAUUAAGACUCGAACCAUUCUUCAUUUACCUGAAGGGUCAUAUCGGGUGAUUCUUAAAUUGCUUAUAUGUGUAAAGGUAAAUUCUUUAGUUUGGGAAUGAUUUUGGAUAUUAAUUAAGGUAACUAGAAUCUCCUAACACAAAGUUGAGUUGAAAGUUUCCUUACCGAUUAAGUUUUGAUGUAAGAUUCUACUUGGAUCAACUUCAAACGACCAUAUCUCUUAGAAUAUAGGAGUUAUGUGGCCUAUAACCUAUCAAAUUAAAGGUAUUUUAAUCUACUUUCCAACGUCACCAAUUUCGCGUCAAUCCAAUUUCUGAGUAAAAAGUUAUGACCAUUUUAGUAACUGAUACAGUGCAGUGACGAAUUAGCCAAUGGAAAAAUAUUAAAAAAGGACUUUUUGUCUUUUUACCUCCAAGAAAACUCUAAACGGAUUUCUGGACAAAUAUAAGGCUCAAAACAAUCAGAUUUUCAUCUUUUAAUUCAUCAUUCUCUUCUCUCUCAAACCCUAGGGCAAAAUCCUAAGGAAAAAUAAAAGUAGAAGACUCCAUUCAAAAUUCUUUCAAUCAUUUUCAAGAUUCUUCUUCAAGGUAAGUUUUUCUCCUAGAAUUUAAUUAUUUUCAACUCAAAUUCCUCCAUAAUUCUUGGCCAUAGAGAUUUCAAGAAAGUAAUUCAAGAAUCUCAAGAAAGGUUUUCUUGAUUAUUCUCAUUCAAGCUAGGGUUUUAAAUCUUCUAACCAAGUUCUUUUUCAAGAUUCAUGAAGAAUCUUGUUCUUUCAGGUAUGUAAGGCUAUCAUAGUGUUGGACUAGUUUGUCCUCACGCCCUACAUCUACUUUCAAAUCAAUAAAAGAAAAUCUAGGAUUCUUUCCCUAGAUUUGAGUAUUCUUGAGAUAAGUUGAUUUUGAGUUCUUGAGUUCAUGUUUCUUUUAAACAGAUUCUAUUCCUAAUUAUUGAGUUUCUAUAUUUUUAUUGAGAUCCUUGAUUUGAUUUGUUCAUGUCUAUAUUCAGCAUGAACCCUAUGAUUUGAGUUAUAAAUUUUGAAAACUUUUAAAGCCAACACUUGAGUUCUUAAACUGAGUUUUGAGAAAGUAAAGAUGAGUUUUAGGAAAAAAGUUUCUAAACCAUGAUUAGUAUGACAAUCGAGUAUGCCAUGAAUGUAUGAGCAGUAUGGUAUCUAGAUAUACCAUCAAUGUUUAUGCAAUAUGACUUUCCGAGUCAUCAAUGAUCAUAUUAAAAUAUGAUUUUGAUAUAUUUUUGAGAAAGAGUUUUCAAGUAUGAAUUGAGUAAGAGUAUAAGGGGGCUAUGUAUUCCCAGAGGUAUCAAUUUUUACAUUGAUAAAAGAACUAAGAUUCCUAAAUGAGUUAUGAGUUCAAAAGAUAUUUCAAGAGCAGUUACUUCUUUUAAGAGGGUAGUUUGAGCAAUUAUCUAAAACUAGAGGAAGAGUUAUGUUUUUAAACAUAUGAGCAUGAGUAUAUAUUAUUAUGAGUAGUAUUGAGCAUCGAUAUGAGGACGAGUUCAGACAACUCAAAGUCCUCAUAAACCAUGUAUGCCAACAUGGGUAAAUGGUCAUAUUUUUUAGAUGAUUCCUUAUUUUCUUUUUAAGCAUAGCUUAGUGGAUCUACUUAGUUGAGGUGUCCUAUAUCCUGACAAGGUAUAGGACAGUUCUGGCAACGUGGGCGAGACGUUGUUUCAUCAUGUAGCUCAUAGUGAUGGUUGUUGGUUCGAGAAUCUCCCAAAUAGAGUUAAAGUGUAUUUUUAUAUAUAACUUAUUAUGUUGAGUUCAGAGAUGAGAACGUAUUUUGUAAAACUUUAAAUGAUUUUAGCUCCUUUAUAUCUUUACAUUCAGCUUGAGUACAUUGUUAUCUAUUCCAGUCCUUUCUUUCUGUUAUUUGUUAUUUAGCUAUAUUACAUACUCGUACAUUCAAUGUACUGAUGUCAUUUGACCUGCAUCUUUUAAUGAUGCAGAUACAAUUUAUUAGGAUCCUCAACAAGAGUCUGUUGAGAUCACUUCAUCUGUUCGUCAACUUUCGAAUGAGGUCUCUUUGUUUCCGGAGGACUCCAGUCUUAUGAGACUCAUCUUUGUAUAAUAGAGGCUUCAUUGAUAAACAGUUUUGUAGAGUCUUUCAGUUUCAAAUGUUUUAUUUAAAACUUAUGUUUCAUAUUCAGUUCAGUUUUAAGAUUCAGUAAAUUGUUUUAAACGUUUAUGUCAAUUUGAUGCUUAUGUAUGCUUGAGUUAGUCUUCCGCUUGUAGUCAGCCAUGAUGUAGGCUCGGGACCAGCAAUGGUUUUCGAGUGCUGGCCACAUCCAGGAUGUAGGCUCGGGUCGUGACAGAUAAUAUUUUCUCCAAUCACGACUUGGACCAGUGAAAAAAUCAACUAUUCUGAUAAGAUAAUAUAUUUUCAGAAAACCUAUAUAAAUAUAUGGUCUCAUUAAUAUUAUAAAUUAAUAAUUCCUUAAAAGUACAAAUAUAUCCAAGACAAUUUAAUGAAAUAUGAUUCUAUUGUGUAUUUUUUUUCUUAAAAUUUAAAUCUAGUUGAAGCUCAUUUCUAACUUUUCUUAUCGCAUUCAAAAGUUCUGACAAUGUCUUUUUGAAGUGCACCAUAAAAUUCAGCUGAUCGUUUGAGUGUGUUUGGUAUUGUACCUUGACUAGCUUUUAAAUGAAAUUUUUUCAUUAAUCCAUGACUGCAAAUUCUUUUGAGAGCAUGUGGAAUGAUCUCUUUGUACUCACAUAAUGCUUUAUGUUUUUGAUCCGUCAUUGUUGAUUUUGUGACAUCUUUUAAAUAAGAAGCCAUUUUUGGAUAUGGUUUUCAAAAUUUUCUAUAUUGCUUAUAUAAUUUAUUGUCUCACCAUCAUACAUUAAAGUGUUUGUAAUAAAGAUACAAUGAAUAAUAUUUGAUUAUUAAAAAAUAAUGUACAUUAUGUACAUUACUUUUACUAUGAAUCAAUGAAUUAUUGAAUUUAUAUUUACAACAAAUCAUUUAACAAAAUAAUAUAUUACAAUGGAUCAUACACAUACAUUGUACUUUACGUAUAGUGAUUUUUUUUAUAUGAAUUCAAUAAAUAUGAUACAUAAUUUAGCAAUAUACAAUGGUUUUGACAUAUUCAUUGUACAUUAUGUAUAAACUUUUUUUUAAUGUGAAUUCAAUAAAUAUGAUACAUAAAUUAGUAAGAUACAAUAAAUUUGAUGUAAUCAGAAUUAACAUUCAUUGAAUCUCAAAAUAUUCUUUAAAUUGAUAAAUAUCAUUCUAUGGAUAAAAUAAUAAUAUUUCAUAAUUCCACUUAUAUUAAUUUAGUGAUGCUUUACUGUAGAUGAAAUUCUUGUCUAUUUCACUAAAAAUUUUACAUUACAAGCUCACAAACACAAACCCAACAAAUUAUAUGUGGAGUGAUUUUUCCAUUUUGAAUUAAUUUCUAUCAAGGGAAAAGGGUCAAAUAUCCCCCUAAACUAUUCAAAAAGGUUUAGAUAUACCCCCGUUUAAAGUUUGGUUCACUCAUGCUCUCGCCGUUCAACUUUUGGUCUAAAUAUGCCCUUAUGGCGUUAGUUGGCCUGCUGAAAAUUUCCAAUUCAUUUUACAUUUCUUUAAAUGACAAAUGGAAUUGAAGGGAAAGGGGUCACUUAUGCCCCUAAACUAUCCGACCCACUUUUAAAACACAUACCCAUAAAUCACCCCUCUUUUAAAUAAUAUAUCUUACCCAUUUUCAACAAUUUUGUUUAAUUUUUAUUUUUUUCGGUAAAUCCCGAAAAUGAGUAAUUGAUUAAUAAAAAAUAGGAAAAAUAUGAAAAAAAUAUAAAGUUAACGCAAAAAAUUUACAAAUAAAUAUAGUAACCUUAAAUUCAACAAUUUUAAUAUUUUUUUUUUAAUUUUUUUUUUUGGUAAAUCCCAAAAAUGAGUAAUUGAUUAAUAAAAAAUAUGAAAAGUAUGAAAAAAUAUAAAAUUAACGCCAAAAAAUCACAAAUAAAUAUAGUAACCUUAAAUUCAACAAUUUCAACAAUUUUUUUAAUUUUUAUUUUUUCGGUAAAUCUCGAAAAUGAGUAAUUUAUUAAUAAAAAAAGGAAAAAANNNNNNNNNNNNNNNNNNNNNNNNNNNNNNNNNNNNNNNNNNNNNNNNNNNNNNNNNNNNNNNNNNNNNNNNNNNNNNNNNNNNNNNNNNNNNNNNNNNNNNNNNNNNNNNNNNNNNNNNNNNNNNNNNNNNNNNNNNNNNNNNNNNNNNNNNNNNNNNNNNNNNNNNNNNNNNNNNNNNNNNNNNNNNNNNNNNNNNNNNNNNNNNNNNNNNNNNNNNNNNNNNNNNNNNNNNNNNNNNNNNNNNNNNNNNNNNNNNNNNNNNNNNNNNNNNNNNNNNNNNNNNNNNNNNNNNNNNNNNNNNNNNNNNNNNNNNNNNNNNNUUUUUUAUUAAUAAAUUACUCAUUUUUGAGAUUUGCCGAAUAAAAAUAAAAAUUAAACAAAAUUGUUGAAUUUAAGGUUACUAUAUUUAUUUGUGAAUUUUUGGCGUUAAUUUUAUAUUUUUUUCAUACUUUUCAUAUUUUUUUAUUAAUCAAUUACUCAUUUUCAGGAUUUACCGGAUUUUUUUUAAAAUUUUUUUAUUGAGAUUGUCGAAUUUAAGGUUACUAUAUUUAUUUGUAAAUUUUUUGCAUUAAUUUUAUAUUUUUUUCAUAUUUUUCCUAUUUUUUAUUAAUCAAUUACUCAUUUUCGAGAUUUAUCGGAAAAAAAAAUAAUUGUUGAAAACGGGUAAGAUAGGUUAUUUAAAAGAGGAGUGAUUUAUGAGUCAGAUAGGUGUUUUAAAAGUGGGUCGGAUAGUUUAGGGGCAUAAGACACCCCUUUCCCUUUUAAUAUAAAUGCCACGUGGCAAUUCCAUUUGUCAUUUAAAGAAAUGUAAAAUGAGUUGGAAAUUUUCAGCAGGCCAACAAACGCCAUAAGGGCAUAUUUAGACCAAAAGUUGGACGGCGAGGGCAUGAGUGAGCCAAACUUUAAACGGGGGUAUAUCUAGACUUUUUCGAAUAGUUUAGGAGCAUAUUUUUUAUCAACUAUAAUUAUUUUAUAUAAUAUAAAAUUUAUUAUCUUCAAAUAAUAAUAUAAUAAAAUUAUUAUUUUAAGACAUGUCAAGUCAAUACGGAACAAAUAAAAAUCAUAUCAAAUAUCAUCCAAACACAUGCUUGCCAAAUUUAAAUUCAAAUAACAAACCAUGAUUGGUGGCAUUAAAGUUAGUUGACAGCUCGGAAAGGGUAAAGCGUGGGUCAAUCAAACGCCUAUCUCUUCAUCGCCUUCUUCCUCAAAAAAGAAAAAAAAGGUAAACGCUCUACUGUAACGAUUCGAUUUUUUUCAAACUUAGCUCUAAAUUUAUAUUAUUGAGACGGAUCUAGAAUUUGAAAUUUGUGGGUAUAUAUACAUAUUUUUAUAAAUUUUGAUACAAAUAUGUUUAUACAAACGUAGAGACGGAUCUAGAAUUUGAAAUUAUGAUAUGCAUAAUCAUAAUCAUAAUCAUACAUAUUUUUAAUUUUGUAUGUAAAUACAGAGGAAGAAAGGUGCAGAGGAAGAGAGAUGACGAUACUGUAUGCGCUGGUAGCGAGGGGAUCGGUGGUGUUGGCGGAGCAGAGCGGGACGUCAACGAACGCGAGUACGAUCGCGAGGCAGAUUUUGGAGAAAAUUCCGGGGAAUAAUGAUUCCAAUGCUUCGUACUCACAGGAUCGGUAUAUUUUCCAUGUUAAACGCACUGAUGGACUUACUGUCCUCUGUAUGGCGGAUGAUAAUGCUGGAAGUAAGCAAUUACCCUUUUGUAUAAUGCAGUUAUGUUGUUAGAAUGUGUUUAAAUUCCUGUUUAUGUUGAUUCAGCUUUUAUGUUUUGUGUCUUUACAAAUUACAAUUAAUCUAGAUAUAUCUAAAUAACAACAACAACAACAUCAUAGUCCAUGUAAUUUGACAAGUGGGGCUGGGAGGGUGGUGACUGCUGUGUAUACAACCUUAUUCUGAAGGUAGAAAAAUUGUUUUCGAUAGCCUCGGCUCAAAUAUAGAUAUAUAUAAACAACAGCAAUGACAUGGGUUUGGGGAGAGUGGUGUGUAUGCAACCUUACCCUGAAGGUAGAGAGUCUGUUUCUGAUGGAUACUCGGCUUAAAUCUAGUUAUAUCUAAACAAAAACAACAUAACCAGGGUAAUCUCACAAGUGGGGUUAGGGUAGGUUGGUGUGAAGAUAACUAUACUUCAGUGAGUUGGUGAAUGGAUAUAUUAAUCCCACUAGGACUCCUCUCAGUGAUCAAUCUUUGGGCUUAAAGCCAUUUUAUAAAUCCGAGAAACAGAAUAUUGUGAAGUGUUGUCUUUUAAGCAGCCUUAUGGUCUUUAGUUACAGGUUCAUUUCACAAUAUCAUUGGAUAAUAUCCUGCAGCAUUGGUAAUUCUGAUCUUCUUGAUAUAUAUUUAUAUUUUUAUUCUGUCUUAGGGAUAUCUAUUCUAUAUACUUCUUUAAUAUAUUUUACCUUGGCAUCUUUUCCUUGGUUUUGUAUCUCCUAGUACAUUGUGUAAAUAUACUUUGGUUAGUUGUUCCCAAAAAAGAAGAAGAUUUGUAGUUGUACACAGACUUCUCCCUUUAAUUUAGUUCGAAUUUAGAUAGUGGUUUAGUUCUUUAGUAACACCACAGAUUUCAUUUUCAUUUUUGAUAUGUUGCCUUGGAAGAUUGUCAUAUAUUGUGGAUAUUUUACUAUACUAAAUUCCGCUACAGGAAGAAUCCCUUUCGCAUUUCUUGAAGAAAUUCACCAAAGAUUUGUGAGGACCUAUGGCCGAGCAGUUCUGUCUGCGCAAGCUUAUGGUAUGAAUGAUGAAUUUUCAAGGGUGCUUAGCCAGCAAAUGGAAUACUACUCUAGUGAUCCAAAUGCAGACAGAAUAAACAGGCUAAAGGGUGAAAUGAGUCAGGUCAGUUACCAAUGUUGUUUUAGGCCUUAGGGACCUUGUGUUCUAGAUGUUGGCUCAUGCAAAAUUCACAUUUUCUCAAUCUGAUGAGGCUUGCACUUUCAAUGCAUCAUAAUUAUAUCAUCAACAAGCAUAUUGUAAUGAGUGAUUAGGCUUAAUAAUUCGUGGUGUUUGAUGCAACAUUCUUCCCUUGAGACCAUCAAUAGUCAUUUAUAUGUUCCUGUAAUAAAGCUUUUAUUGUAUUGAUGAGUAGCGGUGAUAAAAACAAUAUUUACAGUUUCAGCUGGCAAAUCUUAUAAACUAGAAAUUGCAGCAAAUCAUAUUUACCAGCCAUUAUAUUUUGACAUUAGCUAAGAAAAUUUUGGAUGUAUGUGCCAUGUAACAGGUGCGCACUGUCAUGGUUGAGAAUAUUGAUAAAGUUCUAGAGAGAGGUGAUCGCUUGGAAUUGCUGGUCGAUAAAACAGCUAAUAUGCAAGAGAACACUUUCCGCUUCAGAAAGCAGGCUCGCCGUUUCAGAAGCACUGUAUGGUGGAGAAAUGUCAAACUCACGUAUGUUGCUUCCAUUACUUGGACAAAUGCUAUUUCUUUGUUUCAUUUUUCCUUGGUGGGGGAGGGGGGUUGUUCUUUCAAUAGUUGGAUGAAUUAUAUAAUUAUUAGAUUUCUUUUAUUGGGUAAGAUUAAACUCUGAUUUGAACAGUUAGAUUGUUACAUGUGAAGAUCCCUUAUUUGUAAGUUAUCUGACAUUACUGAAACUAGCUGGGCUCUAUCCUACCUAAAAUGGUUUGACAAAACGGACAGUGUAUCUUCCAGGAUCAAUUUAGAGAGAAAUUUUAAAAUGUGAAUAAAUAAUAAUCCAAAUUUUACAUCUUUGGGAAGUCCAUGAAAUGAUUGAGAUCAGUAUGAAGCUUCCUCAUGGAUUUCUUGAUCUGGUUAUUCCUUUUCCUUAUAAUAUGUGUUUCACGAUCUUUUAUCUGCCUGCUCCUAAACAGUAUGAAUUUUGUGAAGCAAUUCUAACAACAGAUCCCUACGUUUACAGAAGAUUUCAUAGUUGUAUGCUGUACUGAUUCUCUCAGGAUAUUUUUAAUUUUGUUCUUGAUGGUUGUUUACAUUUAAGGAGUCGCCGGCUUCAAGUUUUUCUUUUCCUAUUUCAUUAUUUAAUUUUGUCAUCGUUCUUUAUAAUGAUGUUUGAUUUUUGCAGGGUGGCACUGAUAGUCCUCCUCCUUGUGAUAGUUUAUGUUAUUUUGGCUUUCGCUUGUCAUGGACUCACACUUCCAACUUGUUUGAAGUGAGGAUUACUGGAUCAGCAUCACAUCUUUCGUCCUGAAACAUUAUUUUGCAAUUUUUUCAUCUUAAUUAAUCUUGGGGUAAAGCUUGGAUGUGUAUUUUGGCAUGGAUUUCAUCCUUGAUAUGUAUUAAUCGUGUGAUAUCCUUGAGCUUAUAAGCAAGCCAAAACUCUUGGUUUGAUAAUGUAGAUUGUAUUUAUAUAUAAUUUUGACCCAUGUGAGGAAAAUGAAGGGGUCAAAUAACUCAUGAUUGAUUUCUUGGCUUGAUAUCUGUGUUGAAAUAUAACUUGACCGUCUUUUUGUUUGCACUCUAUGCUGAAAUUUGGUUUUGUUGCUUAUUUGAGGCCAUGGAAGGUUUCAACCUAAGUGACAUUUGUUUCAGAAACUUGAAUACUUCAUUUUGGAGAAUAUAUUUCAAUUUUUGUUUUUGCAGGAAUCUGUUUUUCAACCAAACAUAAAUUAUCUGUUAUAGAGGAAAUGCUAAUGCAAUUUCAAAGUACCACAAUUCCAUCCUUAUAUCAAGACGUGUGAUAUAUAUUCUGUACAAAGAUGCACUAUAAUUCUGCAUUGAAUGUUACAUGUCAAAUAUUACAGUGAAACCAAAUUGUCAUCUAUAAGGGAAAACCUGUUCAAUAAAGCUUCUAAUUCUUGAAGAACCGCCAUGUAAUGCUCUUCAGAUUGAGCCCCUUCUUCAACAACUUGCAUGACAUGUUUAUGUAGAUGAUUAUAUAAUUCCACAGGAUUAUUCACAUCAACAUGACUAAGGACAGAAUCUACUGGAGUCUUACGUUUGUAAUCUUUAUCCCAACGCGGCAGGAUGUAUUGUGAUGGAAUAUCUUCUACACCAUUAUAAUUCAGUACAUUCAAUGCAUGUCUGCAUAAGUAUCCUUUAAAGUUGAACAAACUGCAAAUACAGCGUACUUCUACUUGUGUCGUCUCAUAGAGAACCUCAAACUGCCUGAUCUCCUUCUCACUUCCUUCGGAUUCUACUCUUUCUUCGACAGCAAAUGUCAUUAUUGGCCCGUUAAUGUUUACAUGUCUUGUGUUAAAGCAAGAACGCAUUUCCUCAACUUCUUUUUGGAACUUCUUGAAUAUUUCCUUUGUGAAUAUCCGUGAGAGUUGCUGCUCAAAUUUGCAUGUUGUUUUCAGUUCAAAGCUUGAACUUCUCGACUCCAUAUCAGCCAUUGCUUCUUUCAGGUAUUUCCUUUGCAGGGCUAGAUCAUACUUAUCAACAAAUUCUUUGAAUGAAGUGUGUUUAUGUACAUAACCAUCAAAAAAUGAAUCCAAACUCUCGUUUUCCUUUAUUGGCAUGAUUCCCAUGAAGGAAAUAUCUUUUAAGUAGACUGGUACCCAUUUUUCACGAUCUUCGUACAAUGAUUGAAGCCAUUUAUUGUCCUUGAGUCCAUGCUGAUUUAUCAUCUGUCCCCAAGAACUUUCAAAUUCGGUGAUCUUCAAAGAAUUAUAAACUGCUUUAUACAGUUGCAUCUUGAUAGACUCAUACCCCUUCAAUCCUCCCAACUUCUCAGGAACUCGCUGCAUGAUAUAUGACAAACAAUAACAAUGACAAGCUUGAGGGAAAACCUUAGAAACUGCAAUUUGCAAUGAUUUUGACUGAUCAGUUAGAAUAACUUGUGGAUGUCUCCCCAGCAUACAUGUUUGCCAUGAUUUCAACAUCCAAAUAAAGUACUCUGCUGAAUCAUGUCCAAGAAAACCACAUCCCAGCAAAACAGGUUGCCCAUGAUUGUUUAAUCCGACAAAAGAAAUUAGAGGAAUUUCAUAUUUGUUUCUCAAGCUUGUUGUAUCAAUUGCAACUGCAUCAGAAAAGGAGUUGAAAGCAGCCCUAGACCUAGCAUCAGCCCAGAACACAUUUCUCAGGCAUCCUUCAUCAUCAAGAUCCAUCAGAUAAAAGAAGUUUGGAUUUGUCAAUUUCAUACGACAAAAAUAAUUAUACAGUGCAUGCGCAUCCCCCUCUUUAAGCUCCAAAUGCUUUGAGGUAUCAACAGGAAGCCCACUAUUUGUUUCCUCGACUUCUUGGGAUCCAUUAUAAGCAGCAUCAAUAGAUGUGCGGUAUAACUUAAUUGUAUGCACUUCUGUAACAGGUGUCGAUUCCUGCUGCUUUUUGGAAGCAAGAAUCAUUUUUUUGUGAGACUUAUAGAACCGUCUGAUCUCUGGGCUUACUGUAUGAUUAUGCUGAAGCACAACUUCAACAAUUCUCCAUCUUUUUGAGUCCACAAGCUUAAUUACUAGCAUUGCAGGACAACCAGUUCUUGUUUCUGGCCUAGGGUGAUUUGCUCCACUUUUCUUCUUGAAACCUGCGUUACUGCAGCUAAGUUUUGCUCUAUACCUUUCUUUCCUUUUUGAUCUAAACCAGGAGUUGCUCACUCUAACACCAAAUCCUUGUUCCUUACCAUACAUGUUAUAAAAAUCAUAUGCUUCAUCAAAAGACCCAAAUUCCAGACCGACUGUGGGUUGUGGGGGCUCUUUCUUUGAAUCAUUUUCAUGAAUUUCAUCAUCAUGCUCCACCACAGAACAGUCUUCUCCAUCCUCAUAUUCUUCACAGUCAUCAAACACUGGGCCGCUGUUAAGACAAACUGCCUCCAUCUGAAACAUGGAAUUGAAAUCAGCAUGGAGAUGAUUUGACCAGAAGUAAACAAACAAAAUGCUUUCUUUCUGAAUCAGUUGCAACCUUCUUUUAAAUAGUCUAUUUUGGAAGGAGGGAGCGUUUCAAAUAUAGUAAAUAUAUCAAAAAGACAAUUCUAAAAAGAACCUGAAGUGUGUGCUUUAGAGUUCAUGAUAGAUCACUUGGUGGUUUCAACCCUUCAAGAACUCAUAGAUUAAGUUCAAAACGACGUGGUAUUGGGAUUUGAAAAUGUGGUUAGAGUUUGACAGGUUUAAUAGAAAUCAAGACAACAUUGUUAAGUAGUAAAACUAAAAUGUACUAAGAAAAAGGUAAAAUUGCAAGAAUGAUGGGAAGGACUUUUCUUACAACAACAAUUUGGAAGUUGAGGUGUACAUGUCGCAUACAGUAGGGUGAUUAGGGACAUGUACAUUGGAGCCGAGAUUGGGGUGAGAAUAGUGGAAGGAAACUUGGAACACUUUCCAAUCUUGAUGGGGUUGUACCAAUGAUCAAAUCUUAGUUCGUUUUUAUUUGCCUUGGUGAUGGAUGAACUAACGUUGCAUAUCCAAUGCGAGGUGCCAUGGUUUUUUCUAUUUGCGAUGACAUAAUACUGAUUGACGAGAUAAGAGGCAAAAUUAAUGAUACGCUGGAGGUCUAGUGCGGACCCUAGAGUUUAAAGGGAUCAGGUUGAGCUUGAGUAGGACUAAGACAAACUACUUGGAGUGCAAGUUCAGUGGCAUAACUCACGAGGCAAAUGCAGAAGUGAGGAUUGAUACACAAGUCAUCUCCAAUUGAGGAAGUUUCAAGUAUUGGGUCAAUAAUCAAAGGCAAUGGGGAGAUUGACAAUGAUGUUACACAUCGUAUUGGAGCGGGGUGGAUGAAAUGGAGGCUCGCAUCCAGUGUCUUGUGUGAUAAAAAUAUGCCACCAGGACUUAAAGGUAAGUUUUAUAAAUUGAUUAUUAGACUAACUAUGUAGUAUUGUGCAGAAUAUUGGCCGGUCAAGAACUUGCAAGUCUAGAAGGAUGAAAGAAGCUGAAAUGAGGAUGUUGAGAUGGAUGUAUGAGCAUACUAAGAGAGAUAGGAUUAGGAAUAAAGAUAUUUGGGACAAGGUGAUAGUGGCCUCCGCGGUGGACAAGAUGUGGUUGAGAUGGUUCAGGCAUGUGAGGAAGAGAUGCACAUAUGCCCCAAUGAGGAGGUGUGAGAGAUUGACUAUGAUGGGUCUGAGAAGAGGUAGAAGCAGGCCAAAGAAGUAUUGAGGAGAGGUGAUUAGCCAACAUAUGACACACCUACAACUUACCGACGAUAUGACCCUAGAGAGGAGGAAAUUAAUGUCGAGAAUUAAGGUAGAUGGUUAGUAGGUAUCAAACGAUGUCUAGGUUUUCUUAUUAGUAUCAUUAUUAUUAAUAUUAAUCUUCUCUUAUCUUAUUCUUCAUUUUUUUAUUACCUAUUGUUUCAUUUACUUCGAUUAUCGUAUUAUUUGAUGUUGCAACUGUUCUUUUCUCCAUUAUUUUCACAUGGCUUCUUCACUACUGUAUUUCCUUUUCAAACCUUUUUAUGAAAUGUUUUACUUGAGCUGAGAGUCUAUUAGAAACAACCUCUCUACCUUCACAAGGUAGAGGUAAGGUAUGUGUACACACCACCCUCCCUAGACCCCACUAGUGGGAUUUCACUGGGUAUGUUGUUGUUGUAACAAUUUUCCCUGCAUAUGAUACACAGCAGCCAAUAAUAUUUUUUGCAUCCUUCUUUAGCGAACAAAUUGCUUGAACUUAUCCAAGCAUGUGUACAGUGACAACAAUAUGCCCCAAUAAUGCAUUCAUGUGCACUGAGAACAGGAAAAAAAUCCAGUCUUUCCAUCUCCAAGGAGACUCAAGGAAAAAUCUAUAUUUACGUGCGAAGACAUUAUUAUAUUCUUAGACUAUUCGAAAUAUAGAAUAAUCAAACACAUUUUCCAUUUCCUCCGGGGCAUGAUCUUAUUACUUGAACUAAAUGCAUAGGUGAUAGGUAUACUCUAUUUUGUAAGAAAUCCAUCCAUCCUGCCCGCAUGGCACAUACGCCCGAAUAUUAAUAUAAGUUAGUUUGGCAUAAGCAUGAUGAAAAAGAUGAGGAUUAGAAAAUGUUUUAGGCAAUAAAUACAGAGUGACCAAUAAAACCUGAAUUCACUAUGCACUCAUCAGAAAUAUGCUCGACAAGAUGUCAGAUAGCAACUUGAGGGCCCGAGUCUAGCAAUUAAUGUUUCCCAGCAUAAGAUAAAAGCUAUGCAGUCAAAGACUAAAUUACGGUCUUGUAGAAAAGGUGAAUACAAGCAGGAAAUUCACAUAUAGAAAGGCUGGUAAAAAAGAAAAGAAAAUGCAUGUCCACUUAUUUAUGCAUGUUUUAGGCCAACAUGAGAUGGCAUGUAUAGAUACACCAAAAAACACAUAAAGACGUGGAUUAACUUAACUCCUUCAACUAUUCCAAGUUUCAAAAUGUAUUAGAGACGAGGCUUGACCCAUUUCACGGCUUAAAUACAUGGAACCUUGGACCUUAUCCUGUGUUUUAUAAUAAUUUUGAUGCCAAACAUUUUAUUGCCCCUGAAAACCCCAAAUAUUGACAUGAAAUUCAGAAGCAUAUUCUUUUUCUAACUGGAUAUGUGAUACUUUAUGUAGUGCUUUUAGCUUUUUCUUUUGAAAGUUAUGUAUCUUACCCUCUCCUUCACCAACUACGAAAGUUCAUAAAAUGACUAAAAGCAGUCCACAGAGAGAUUUGAGAGCCCAAGAAAAUUCUAACAAUCCACAAACACAAUCAUCUUAACACUAAACAUACCAGUUACAGAUUCCUCAUCAACUAUGCCGUAGUGUAAGAUAGAAAAGCCGCGAGAUUCUCAUUGAUUUUGACAUUAGACUUGUCAUUUUGAAACUCAAAAGAGAGCCGCUACCAUCUUAACCUGAGAAACAUAUCUCCAUGUCACAAAAAAAACACUACACUACAAAAUAUUACAUAUGAUUCAACUAUUUUGUGCACGGGUAUGGGGUGCAGAAAACAAGUGCGGCCAAUCCGCUAGACUCAUAAAAUAGUAGUGAAAAUAAAAACAUGCAAGUGGAGACGGGAUUGGUCUAAACCAGUCGAAGUAGCAUGAAAAAAAAGUAGUAGAGGUGCUUUAGGCACUAAAGAAGAUGAUAUUUGAGGUACACGAGCCAAUUUGUUCAUCCUAAUUUUCCAAAAGUAACACUAAAAUCGCAGCAGCUAACACCGAAACAAACAUGACAUAGCACCUUCUGCCACAGAAGUCUGAAAAACCUUCCAAAGAGAUCAGUCAGUAUUCUGGGAUCUGCCUCAGCAUGAUCACUCACUAACACCUCUUUUCUUUUCCUUUCUCUCUUUUUUCAUAUGACAUAGAAAGACCAUACACUUUACAUUUUAUGUAAAUUAGCAGCUGAUCAAUAGGCUUCCUUAAUCACAUUGAUAGUCAACAUACCCCCUCCCUUCCGCCAUCACCCAAUCAACACUCACCUCCUCAGUUUCCACCCUCCAAAAUAAAAGAUGCACUCAACAACACGUCACUUAGAAGAAUCCCUUCUAGUAAUUAUCAUACAUCAACAAAAAAAAAUGGCAAAGCUCAUAAGGAGACAUAACCCAAGUUUGGUUUCCAUAGCUCAAUAAUGAUCGAAUAGGGUUAAUUGGUGAAGUAUUUAAAAUCAUAUCUUAUAUAAUCAUGCCCUUUAAUUAUAACAAAAAGAGUAUGAGAUCAGGUGAUAUUCAUCAACUGAAAAGCUAAAGUCACCCUAACUUCAGACAACCUCCAUUUUUAUGAACUGUUACUGAUCCUCAGAAAUCUCAGCAAUUGAUAACGAAGUGUUUAAACGCAACAAAAAAAAUAUAAUCAAAAUUUAGCUAAAAAUUUCAAGGAAAUAAAGGACUACAUACAAUUAGCAGGAAAAAAGAAAGAAGAAAAGAUUAUACCUCUACCGGACUAAAUUAAAAUUUUCUUAUCCAGGACAAAACAUUUCAAUCAAAAUCAUCAUCAGUUCAUCUUCAAGUGGAUAAUUUUAGCUCAGCUGUUCAACAGAAAUUAUCAAUUUCCGAAGCAGGCUUAUAAAUUAAAAGUCACGCGCCGGCGAACGAGCGGCGAGGGUGGUGGCGGAGAACGGCGGACGGCGGAGGUGCAAAGACUAAUUUUGUACGACGGCGAGCGAACGAAAAUCGGUAAGGGCUUAGAAUUUGGGAAAAUUAAUAUUUGCAAACUACAUCCUUGGAAUAUUGUCUAUACUGCGUUACUCACCUCGAAACAUUUCAAUUUCUCCAAUCAAAACAUUUCAUUAUUAAAGCCUUCACAAAAGAAUUACUAAUCAAACAAAAUUUAUUUUUUAAUACAAAAAAUAUUUUACUACUAAUGUGAACUUUUUUGACACUGAUUCAAAUUAAUAAAAUCUCAAAGCUAAUAGGAUACUAGUAGAGUACUACAAGGGCAUAAAUCAUAAAAAUUAUGAUUCAUAAUAUACAAAUGUAUCUUUUAACUUAAUUUUAGUUGGUAUUUAUAUCCUCAAAUUUUGGGUGUGCAUAAUUAGUCAGUUAAGCUGAUAUAAAAUUGAACAAAUAGAUACUUUCGUCUUACUUUGAGUUCUAAAUGACAAUUUCAUGUCCUAUGUGACGUGCUAUGUGUCUUAUGUGACGUCUACUUAUUUAGUUUUAUACAAGUUUAAGUAUUAGUUAUGCACGGUCAAAAUUGAAGGACAUAAAUACUUGUUAAAGACAAAUUAAAGGGCAUAUAUGCUAUAUUUCGAAUGUGUUAAGUGAACUUAUUAUAACUAACUUACUAACUUCAAGGAUAUGAUUUUUAAUAAUAAAUACAAUAAUUCGAUAAGAAAUAUAAAUAAUUGUAUAAUUUAAUUGGAAAAAUUGUACCCGUUCUUGUUUAGUUUUUUCCUUGGAAAUUUACAGAGAAAUAUAGUCGUAAUGGCAGUGCGAUCAAUAUUUCUUCUUCAGUGCUUCUUCUUAUGUUCUAUUCUUUCUGGGUAUAUAAAUUUUCAUGCACGUAAUAAAAUGAACUCAAUUCAGAAAAAUUGUAAAAUUUAGUUUAUGUUUUGAAUUUAUUAAGCUUGUUAAUUAAUAACAAUUUGAUUAUUUUCCCGUAGCUUCUAAUUAAUUUUAAUUUCCAUUUGAAUUUUUUGGCAUUGGAUGGGGAAAAAAUGUCCAAAAAUUUUGGAUCUUCAAUCUUCAAGUUCCACUGUUUUGAAUUUUUUUCGUAGCUUGUUGAUAUGAAAUUAGUAAAACCUAAUUGAUUGAUUUGUUAAAAAAAAAAAACAGAAUUUGAGAAAAAUUACAGAGAAUUCAAAUCUUGGCUUGUGUUUUUUUUUUAAAGAUUAUUACUAUGUCAAGUAAUUAAACAAUUGAUUAUUUUCUCCACUUUUUCAUUAUUUUAAUUAAAUUAAUUUUUUUUUGCAGGAAUGUUGAUGGUUAUACUGUUACAGGACGAGUAAAAAUACCCAGUAAAUACUUCAAGAAUUCUUUUCACCUUAAUUUCUCUUCCUAGUUAUAUUUUUAGAAUACAUAGAAUUGUAUUAGUUGCUUUAUAUCACUUUCGUAUUAUCUUAUUAUUCGAUUUCUUAUUAAAACAUUGGUGUUUGACCAUGUUUCAUUAUAAAAUUUGAAAAAACUAGGCCGGGUAAGGCCCCAGACCCCACUUGUGGGAAUAUGCUGGACUUGGGUAUGUUGUUUAUGUAUAGAACUGUAGUUAGUUAGUAUACAUAAGCUUCAAAUAUUGGAAAUAUAAUGUCAUUUAUUUGCCUAGUUUCACCAAUACGGUAGCUAAAAUAUCAUAAAUUUAAGGAAAAAUAGGUCAGUAGUAAACAAUUAUUUGGGAUGAAAAAGGAGUAAUUUAGUUAAAUUUUCCAACUUUUUGUCAAGGUGGAGUUUUUUCUACCUAUAUAUGUUCUAUUAAUUUUAGAUUAUAGAGCUAAAACUCUCCUUUUGUUAUAGAGAUUCACUUCACUGUACUUUGAUGUUUUAAAUAUUUUUUUUGUGAUGAUUUAUCGGUUAUAAGAAAUAUUGACUUUGUUUUCUGUAGUUGAGAAUAGGUUACAGAAUUGUCACAGAACUUUUAGUAUGGAGAUUCAUAUAGCUGAUCCAACUUAUUUGUGACUAAGGCCGCGUUGUUGUUGUUGUUUGUUUGUUUGUUUUCUUUAGUCUUUAGCUUGAAAGGAUCUGGUUUCUUACCUAAAGCUUCAAAUGUUAAAGUCAUACUCAAUGCUGGCCAAAGAGUUACUUUCCUGAGACCCAAUGGAUAUUUCUCAUUGUAUCCUUCCUAAAGUCGACGAGUCAAUGUCUUAAGUCAGUCCUUAAUUCAUCUUUGGUUAUGUAUCUUGAUUAAACUCUAGGUAUACUAAUAGGAGUUUUGUGCUGCAUAUUUACUGUUUUUGUGUGUUGUUUUCUUGUAUGAUACAAUAACAACAACAAGAACAAACAACUACGUCUCAGUCCCAAACAAGUUAGGAUUGUGAGUGGCUCAUCUGAAUUAUACUCAAUUUGUGGGAUAAUCAUGAAAACUAGAAUGCUACUCCUCUUUGGAAAGGCUAUGCGAAGGGAAUGUUAUCCUAUGAAUGCAAUUCCUUAACCUUAGCAAUAGUCAUAAUGUUUCAGCAGGGACACAUCUUAUUGAGGUGUCUGCAAUUGGCUACUUCUUUUCUCCGGU
RNAcentral lists this long non-coding RNA (49767 nucleotides) under Solanum tuberosum (potato). Its description in RNAcentral is "long non-coding RNA (STUB_LNC006668)". Lineage: Eukaryota; Viridiplantae; Streptophyta; Magnoliopsida; Solanales; Solanaceae. The record is from RNAcentral.